AAUAUUUUCUUCUUUUAUGUCUCGCUCACUGGGGCAAACCAUCUUUUUCAAAAUUUUGAAAAGCAUGCCAUCAAAAAGAAUUUUGUUCAAUCCCAAUCCCACAUUGUCUGUAGAAGUAUUUACUUUUGACUGUACACUUUGUUAUUUUACAAUCCCUCCCCAGUUCUGCAACCAUUUCUCUACUUUCUAUGCACUUGGCUUGCUAGAAACUAAAGAAAACACAUUGCUCUACUUGCCUGCCUUCACUCUUCAGAUUGCUCAACAAAUCCCUUGAGACCUUCUCCAUAGUUAACACAUCACAUAAUGGCUAAUCUCAAAAAUUUAGCCAUAAACAUUGAACACCUUAAGCAAUCAACGUCCCUUCCUUCACAAUAUGCAUCACCCAUAAAUCUUUCUUUUGGGAUGUCGCCGGGAGUUUAAUCUCCGAGUGUAAAAAUUAUGUAUAAAUUUCCAUUCUUUCUUUCCAUCCAUUACUUGUCCUCUAUGAAGAUUCUAUGUAUGGAAUCUCGGAAUCUUUUCGAGCAUAACUUGGGAUCAACAGCUGAGAUCAUAGACGUGGGAUUAAUUGACAAAAUUUAUUUUUAACCAUCAAUAUUGAAUAAUGGCUUAUUUUAUAAUAUAAAUUAUGUUUGAAAUAAAAUUGAUAAAAUUAAAAGACAUGAAACACAAUUAAUGACGACAUAGUAUAUUUUGAGACUAAAUUGAGGUUUUUCAAUUACCUUUAAACAUAUCUUGGUUUUAAUAGUGGACGGUACAUCCUUUGGAUUUAUUAGAAAAAACAUGCAAUGUAAAUUUAAAAAAUAUAUAUAUUUAGUUUUCAAAUACACAUAGUAAUAAAAAAUUAGAUGAUAGUAAAAAGAAAAUAAAAAUUAGUCUGAAUAAUUGGUAUCAGUUUCUAUUAUGAUAUAUCUAGCGAAGAAGUUCAAAGAAUAGAAUGAAGUAAAAUAUUCUUAAUAAAAAAGAAAAAAAACCACAGAAAAAAAUAAAAUAUGUUUUUAAUAAAUAUGAAAGAUGGAUAAAAUUAGAGAACAAGAAAGAGAAAUAGAAUCUCUUUGUAAGAACUUCUAAAAAUUUAAUUAUAAUUUAGUAUUUCUUCCUUAUAAUUAUUCAACGCUAGGUUUUAAUAUAUAAUUAAAGAGUCUCUCUCCUGAACCAGAUAAUAAAAAGAUUGUAUAACUCUUUUGUAUGAAUUGUAAAUCCAGGGACUGUUUUGGUCCCUGACUUCGUUGAUUUGAUUUGAAUAUAUUAUUUAUAAAUUAGAUAAGAUUCAAACUAAGGGGAUUAAAGUGUAAAAUAAAGAAAAACACCCUUGGCAAUCUAAAAUAAUUGAAGUAAUGAAUGCAUGAAGCAAGAUAAUUAGUGGUUGAAUACAGAUUAUAACUAAUUAUUUGUUCUGAUGAACAUUACCAAAUACAAAAAAAAAUGUUUCUAAAAUAAUAAGAUAUGAAUUAACUAUAGGCGGCAAAUAAUUAAAAGAGAUAUAAAUUUUGUGAUGAGUUAUGGUUAAUGCAGAAGCAAAUAAAAGAGGAACAGAAAUGAUAGGCAAAUAUUGUUUCUGGGGUAGUGUUUGUCACUGCGGUUAGAAAAUGUUUUUAAAUUUUUUUUAUUUUUUUUAUUUUAAAUUAAUAUAUUUUUAAUAUUUUUAAAUCAUUUUAAUAUGCUGAUGUUAAAAAUAAUUUUUAUAAAAUAAAAAAAUAUUAUUUUAAUAUAUUUUCAAAUAAAAAACACUUUAAAAAACAAUCACUCCAAACUUUUAAACACUUAAUUAAAACCCAACCUUACAGCUUCUCUCUCCAUAUAUCGUCUUCUUCUGCUUUUGUCAUGGCAUCAACUCAUCGAGUACAGGUAGAGAUACUUGAGGUCUGUCAAGUCAUCUCGUCCUUGAACUCACUUGACCCAGCCACCGAGUUAUCUUUUCUGCUCAUCCUUUUUCCUACAAACUCACCAAGGCAACACCAGAUUAUUUUAACUAAGUGAUCCUUCCAGGUAGCCCCAGGCCACAUUAAUUCUGUUUUUUUUAAAACAAACUCGGCUUAGUUAUUAAUAACAUGUUGCAUCCACAGUCUUACCACUAUAUUAUAAUUAUUUAGGAGGAUAGUUGAACCAUACUUUUUAAAAAAAUUAAUUUUUUUUUUAUACUUUUUAAACAUGUUAUUAUAUUCAUUUCUAAUUUAAUUUUUAUCAUCCAUUUCAUCGUUUUAUUUAUUUAAUAACUAAAUUUUUAAGUGAAAGCAUAUAGUCUUACGAUAAAAAGCAUUUUUUUGAAAUAAAAUAAUAUUAAAUUAACCAUGCUCAACAUUGUUCAAAUUAUUAAUUAAUUAUAAUUAACUCGAGGCCUUUAGAAGAAACAAAAUGGAAAGACAAAAUUAUCUUCCCCACAACCAUAGUUGGGAUUUUUAAAAAAUUAAUUUUAUUUUUAAUUUUUUAAAAAUAAACAACCAAUAAUAAUAUAGUUGGGAUUUUUAAAAAAUUAAGAUGAUUAAAAAAUCGUAUAAAAAGCAAUUUGAAACCAAUUAAUGUUAAAAACAAAAAAAACAAAAUGAAACAUGCCAUGAAAACAAGAGGGUCUUAUUGAAUUAUUAUUUGCUAGGUAACUAUAUAAUAUAAUCUGUUGAUGUGGAAAAUAACACUAAGUUUUUGGCAUGGCAUUGGUGAGAAGCAAAAGCCAUAGGACCAUCACCAUCCUAUGGCUUUGCCGUGCUAUUUGGUUCAAAGGGACGCAAAAAGACAUUCCAAGUGCGCAGUGUUUAUUGUCAUAAAGUUUUUCAAACUUCCAAUAUUGAGAGAGAAAUUAAAAAAAAAAAAAAAAACCAAAAGGAAAAAACCCCCACCCCAUCUUUCUUGUUCCCUUUUCCUUCUUUACAUGGCUUACUCAAUGAAAAAGCAAGCACUAAUGCACCUUCUCCACAAGCUACCCCCUAUUUGGCCACUAUAUAAAUAUAUUAUGGAAAGCAAGAUAAAAAGAAAUCUUUGAUGACUUGCAUUAUCAAUGCAAAAUCUAUUUAUAUAAUUGCUAAAUCUAUAAAGAUAAAUCGAAAAUAACUAGUAAAAUCAGUGACUUGCAUUAUCAAGCUUGACGAAUUUUAAGCUUAAUCUAUUGUAUUAUCUUUGAUGAUCACUUCACAUGCAUCUCUUGCUUGUAUUUGCAAGAGAGUGGAUACCUUCUGCAAUUGCUCAUCGCUAAUUGAUUGUUCCUUCUGCUCUCUCAUUAUUAAGCUUAAACUGUUGUAUCAUCUUAUCUUCCACAAUAAGGAUAUAAUUAAUCAAUCGGACCGACCAUUAUGUUAAGGAUAAGAGAUUGUUGGCACCUCUUUUUUCCUGUUGACAACUCAUGAUUUAUUUAUAGCAGUUAAGGAUAUAAUUAAUCGGACCCACCAUUAUAUAUGUUCCACAUUAAAGAUAUAAUCCAAUGUUUCAUAAUGAUCAUCUUGAAGUUGUUUUUUUCCGCCUUAAUGUUCAGCAUUUUUUAUUUUAUGAUCAGAUAUUAUUUGGAUGUGAUAAUAUAAAAAAUAAUAUUUUAAAAUUUUAAAAAUAAUUUUUAUUAUAUUUUUUUUAUAAAAAAAAUACUUUAAAAAACAGUUAUUAUUACUUACAUGUGAUCUUUCAAUCUUUCAUGAUUGCCUUGUAUUGAUUAAAAGGAAGAAAUAUGAAUACCUCGGCAUUCUGCCACUCAUCAUUUAUCCCUAGGGGAGGCCAGGUAGGUCUGGCCAUUGCUUGCUUCUGUUAAUAAUGAACCUCAUUCAGCUUACGCAUCAACUAUUCAUAACCUAAUUUUAGGUUAUUUUUUAAAAUUUAUUUUUUUUUAAAUAAAAAUAAAAAUAAUUAAAUAAAAAUUGACAGUGCGAAGAAAACAGGUCGGGAAAUAUAACUAUAAUUAUACCCCAUUAUAUCUAAAAAUUAAAAAACAAUGUAAAUUCAAAGUUAAAUUAAAUAAUUAUUGAACGAAUUUGCAUAAAUAUAAAGUCCAAUAACAUAAUUAAAUUUUUAAUAAGUCAAUUUAAUUUAAUCAUAGACCAAAAUGAUUUUUAAUUACGUUUAAGAAUUAAUUUUAAUCCAAUUAAAAGGUUUAAUUAAGUGAAAAGGUUUAAUUAUACUUUAAAGAGGUUAAAUUAACUUUAUUAAAGAUUUAAUUGAUGAAAAAUUGAGUUUAAAAACUCAAUUUAAAUUUAAUUAAAAAGAUUAAUAUUUUAAAUAAUCAAAUUUAAUUUUUAUCAAAUUAAUUAAUUAAAAUCAGGAUGCAAAAUCACAAUAAAUUGAAGUUUAGCUUUUAUCAUUUCAAAAGUUGCAGCCUCAUCUUCACUACUUGUAAAAUUGGGGCAGAUUAUGGACUUAACCGAGCAAUUACCACUCGAAAUUCCUCGCAAUUUAUGAAGGAAAUUUCCGUGUUCUUUCUCUGUAUAUUAUUAGAAAAACUGUCAUUGACUAAUUUAAUUGUAAAGUCUUUGCAAGAAAGCUAAAAGAAUUAGAGUUUUUUAAUUUCUAAAAUUAUAAUUUUAAAUUGUAAAAAGAAUUCAAUUAUUUUUACAAUUCAUCAACAGGUAUAAAAAACAAUUAUACCACUAGCUGUCUUCUCCCAAUGAUCUUUGUAACACUUCCAUUUCCACAUCAUGCAUGAUCAAUUUAUCAGAAUUUUAAUUAGUGGUUGAAUAUAGAUUAUAACUAAUUAUUUGUUCUGAUGAAGAUUACAAAAUUAAAAUGAAAUUACAGCUUCUCUCUCCAUGGUCUUCCUCUGCUUUUGUCAUGGCAUAAAUAAUAGGAAAUAAAUUAACUAUAUAAAUUUAGUGAGGAGUUAUGAUUAACGUAGAAGCAAAUAAAUUAAAAGAGAUAUAAAUUUUAUGAUUAACGCAGAAGCAAAUAAAAGAGGAACAGAAAUUAUAAGCAAAUAUUGUUUUCGGUUUCGACUUUAAAUCAAACCUAUAAAACCUAACCAUUACAUCUUCUCUCUCCAUCGCCUUUUCCUCUGCUUUUGUCAUGGCAUCAACUCAUCGAGUACAGGUAGAGAUACUUGAGGUCUGUCAAGUCAUCCCGUCCUUGAACUCACUUGACCCAGCCACCGAGUUAUCUUUUCCGCUCGUCCUUUUUCCUACACCAAGGCAACACCGGAUUAUUUUAACUCAGUGAUCCUUCCAGGUAGGCCCAGGUCACAUUGAUUAUGUUAAAAAAAAAAAAUCUAAUGUCUUACCAUUAUAUUAUAAUUAUUUAGGAGGAUAGUUGAACAAUACUUUUUUAAAAAAAUUAAUUUUUGACGAGUAAAAUAAUGUGGAACCAAUCGCAAUAAAUAAAGCCAAAAAAGGCAGACGAGUGUGUCUAAUUCAUGACUUGCAUUGACUAAAAAUUACCACUAGAAAUUCCUAGUUUUAUCCUAUAUAAAGAAUACAAAAAAGGCAGACGAGUGUGUUUCGUGGUGCUUUCUCGGCCUGCAAAUGAAUAGAAAGCAUAUCCUUUUAUCCUAUAUAAAGAAUAAUACAAUUAACAAAGCAUAUUUCAAUAUCCUUGCUUUACUCUCCAGCCAUAUGGCCAUUGAUAGAAAGGUGUGUUGAAGCAAAAUCUUUUUUUAUCUGUAGCGACCUCAAUAAUGUUAUCGCGUGGGACCCAGUUGUUGCGACCACCACGAAAUUACCACUCCAAAUUGCUUGUUCUUUCUCUUUCUCCGUAUAUUAUUAGAAAAACUGUCAUUACUAAUUUAAUUGGAACUUAUUUGAGAGAAAGCUAAAAGAAUUAGAUUUUUUUAAUUUAUAAAAAAAUUCAAUUAUUUUUAAAAAUAAAACAUCAACUAUUUACAUAAUAGCUAAAUAAAUCUAUUAAAAUAAAUUGAAAAUAACUAGUAAAAUCAAGCAAAUAAUCCAAAAAUAAUAAGAAAAUAAAUAUAUUUUCUAGAUCUGAUUUGAGUAUUUUUUUAUCUUGAUUGACUGACUUGUUAAGUCUCACUAAGUAUAAAUGAAGUCUGUUUGAUAUUUCUUCAUUUAUUAAUGAAAUAUUACUUCUAUUAUAUAGUUAUUGGGUUUCGAGUUGAUCCAUCGGGUCAAUAGGUAAAUAGUAUAUUCUUUGAAUUUAUUAGAAGAAACGUGUAAUGUAAAUUAUAGAAAAAUAUUUAUUUUUCUGAUAUACAUAAUAAUAAUAAUAAAUUAGAUGGUAGUAACAAAAGAAAAUAGAAAUUAAUUUGAAUAAAUGGUAUGAGUUUCUAUUUUAAUAUAUCCAGGGAAGAAGUUCGAAGAAUAGAAUGAAGUUAAAUAUUUUUAAUAAAAAAAAGAAAGAAAAAAAUAAAAUAUAUUUUUAAUAAAUAUAAAAGAUGGAUAAAAUUAGAGAACAAGAAAGAGAUAUAUAAUCUCUUUGUAAAAACUUCUAAAAUUUUAAUUACAAUUGAGAAUUUCUUCCUUAAAAAUAUCCAAAAAAUUCCUAUUAUUUAUGAAUCAAGACAACAGUAGAAUAACUUUUACAUAUUUUUCAAGUCUACUUAGAAUAAUUAUUUUAAUAUUUUAAAAUUAAAAAAAUACUGUGUAGUUGUUUUGUAUAAAUUCUAAUGUUGAGAACUCUUUUGUGCUUGGUAAAAUAUGAUUUUCAACUUUCGCAGGCGAGCACUAAAGUCCCAAACUUGAAGAAUUUCUCUUCUUUUCCUUUUGUAUUUUCUCAUUUUUUUGGCAUGCGCGCAGCUGCUUCAUGGAAAAAACGUUUCAGAUGCGGAAAAUAAAGAUAAAUGUAGAAAAUAAAAGUGGAAAAAAAAUCCCAAAUAUCGACAAACAUCACAAGAGAAGCUUGAUAUCAACCACAUGCUGCAGUCCACAGUCUUUCCAUUACAUUAUAAUUACUUCUAAAAAAAAAUUAAUUUUUAUUUAAUUAUAUGCCAUCAGCAACUACCUCAAAAUUACCACUCUAAAUUCCAGCUCAAUAUCGAUUAACAUGUGGCUAAAAAAUUUGAUAAUCUCUUAUAGGAAUCUCUUUAUUUAUUAAAUCAUCAAAAUAUCAGAGUAUAUUUCAAAAGACUAUGACUACAGUUUAUAUAUAUAUAUAUAAAAAUAGAAACAACUAAAUAGAAAAAUUAUUAUUUUUUAAAUAAAAAACUAGAAAAGCCUGAUAAUAUUAUUGAAUAAAAAAUAAAAUAGAAAUUUAAUCAAUUAAAAGUUAAAAAAAAUACUGUUUAACUGUUUUGUAUAAAUUCUAAAGUUAAAGAGCCUUUUGUGCUUGGUAAAAUACGUCACACUAAAAUUAAUAAAUAAUAACACAAGAAAGGACCAAAGUUAAUAAAUAAUAGCAUGCACGAAACUUCAUGAUACCCAUGUUUUCCACGUUUUACACUGCUUUAAUAGAUUGUUACAGCAAGAGCACAGAGAGAGGAACGGUUCAAGACAGAACAAUAAAGGAGGGGCUGACGCUCAGUGAGGACAUCCUCCAGCUCAUCUGAUCCAGCUCAAAUGGUUGCAACCACCACGAAAGGAACGCAUUAAUGUUAACGCGUGGACCCAGUUGCUGCACCAGCAUGAAAGUACCACUCCAAAUUCCAGCUCAAAUUGAAUAAUGAUUUAUUUUCUAGCAUAAAUUAUGUUUGAAAUAAAAUUGAUAAAAGACAUAAUUACACAAUUAUUGAUGGGAUCGUAUAUAAAAAUAAUUAAAUUGAGAUUUUUUAAUUAUUUUUAAACAUAUCAUGGUUUUAGGUACAUCAUGUAAAUUAUAAAAAAAAUAUUUAUUUUUCUGAUAUAUAUAUAUAUAUAACAAAUGGUGUGAAAGGGGGAAGUACUAUGAGAGCUUUAUGCCACUUUCUAUCUUUGAUGUAAUGGCUUUGGCAAAAAGAAGCAAACAAAAGUUAGUGUUCGCACUACUUUAGCCGAAGAGUCUUUCAUGGGUGCCUUGGAUUGAUUGAUAGGAAGAAGUCUGCUUUGUUUUUAGAAAGAAGCAGUCUUCAUUGCUUUAAUAAAUUAUUACAAUAAUAGCACUAAGAGAAGAGAAGAAUGAGAGAUGAUCCGAGUUUCAAAACUAUAGUUUAUAUAUAAAAACAACUAAAUAGAAAAAUUAUUAUUUUUUAAAUGAAAAAACCAGAAGAGCUUGAUAAUAUUUAAUAAAAAAAUAAAAAUGAAAAAAUAUGCCUUUUUAAGUACAAACAAAAUUAUAAAGAUUUAAUAAUACUGUAUAAAAAAAUUAAAAAUUCUAACCUAAAUUAAAAAAAAUAAAAAUAACUGAAAAAAUAUUUAUAAAAAUUACGGUAUGUAAAUCUAGGGACUAAAGAUAAUACAACUGCAUUGACCGGAGAUUUCACUUAGAAUUUCUAGUAAAUUAUAAAGGAAAUUUCCUUGUGCUUUCUCAUAUACAUGAAUUUAAAAAUUAUCGUUGCUGGAUUGACUUGCAUUGACUGACUUGCUAAGUAUUUGCUGCUCUUGUGCUCUCUCUUGUAUAUUAUUAGAAAAAUUGUCAUUGACUAAUUGACUUGCAAAAGUAUUUGCAAGAAAGCUAAAGAAUUAGAGUUUUUAAAAUUUUUAAAUUAUUAAAAACAACCAAUUAUUUAAAAAAAAAAUCAAGAAUACAACAUCAACUAUUUAUAUAAUUGCUAAAUAAAUCUAAUAAAAUAAAUCGAAAAUAACUAGUAAAUAAUUCAAAAAUAACUAGAAAAUAAAUAUAUCUCCUCAAUAUGAUUUGAGUAUGUUUUCUAUCUUAAUCGACUGACUUGCUAAGUAUUUGUUAAACAUAAAAAAACUUUACUUUAAAAGUCUAUUUAAUAUUUUUCUUACUUUUAUUAUUUUACUUCAAAGUUUCAAUUUCAUAUUUUUUUACAAUGUAUAUUUUAUUUGAUUAAGGAUAUGUUAAGCAUUGACUCGAAAUUACUACUUGAAAUUCUGGACUGGAAACUAGCUUAAACGCUGGCCACCAACUCUUUUUUGCUCGAUUCAUAGGGAGAGAUCAGGGUAGAAAAUGUGAUUUUUUAUUCAAGAUCGUGGAUAGUACGUUUAAGAUUAUGGAAAUGUGUUUUUUUGUUUACUAGAAGGAUUGGGUCGAAAAGAGGGAAAAAAGUGACAACCUUCCAUAUACGUUUAAGGAAAUCUAGAUUUCUGUAAAUUUUAGGAAAAAACAAUGUCAUUUUUGUUUUUCUUUCAAUAUCAAAAUUUUUUCUUUCCCUAAAUUAUGAUAUAAAAACUCUCAAACUUAAUUUUUACGUAUAAUAUUUAAUUAUUGGUCUAAUUUCAAUACUAACUAUAUAUUUUAUUAUUAUUAUUUGUGUAUUUUUUUUCUGAUUAUUUCUAACCACUUAAAAAAUUAAAAAAAAUAUCAAAAUAAUAAAAUAAUUAAAAUGAACUAAAUUUACUGAAAAUAUUUUUUUAUAAAAAAAUGAAGGGUAAAAAAAUUAAAUUAUGACAUAUAUCAUUAAUUAUUGAGAUUCUUAUAACAAACACGGAACUUCAUGUCACUUGAUGAUACCCAUAUUUUCAACGUUUUACACUGCUUUAAUAAAUUGUUACAAUAAUAGCACAGAGAGAAGAAUGGUUCAAGAGAAAACAAUAAUGGAAGGGAAUCAAAAUCUUUGUUUGAUUUUCUGUUGUGUUUUUGGUACAUUGGUCAACAAUAGCUUGGAAGAGUUUGGUAGCAGUAAGUAACCUUUUCGACCUCAAUAAUGUUAACGCGUGGACCCAGUUGUUGUGGAAACUUUGCAGAGGAAGAAAAAUGAUUGCAUUGCUAAUAAUUUGCAAGAGAGAAUUCUUUCUCUGAAUAUAUAGAAAAAACUAUUAUUUUUAAAAUAAAAACAACUAUAUAGAAAAAUUAUUAUUAUUUAGGUAGAAAUGAUUUAAUUAAGGAAGUAUGUUAAAAAAUAAUAUAAAUUAUAUUUUAGAGUUUAUUUUAAUAGUUUAAAUUUUUAGAUGGAUAGUUUUUGGCAUGGCCAUCGGUGAGAAGCAAAAGCAGUAGCAGCCCAUCAGGACGAUCACCAUCCUAUCGCCGACAUUCCAAGUGUGAAAGUGUAUUAUUGUCAUAAAGUUUUUCAAACUUCCACUAUAGAGAGAUAAAUAAAUAAAUAAGUAGAAAGCGCAAAAGAAACAAUACGAUAAAUUUAAACUAUACUAAAGGUCAGUUUUUCACUCUGUGUGAAUCUACAGUGAAAGUUUGAUUUUGCACAUGGUAGAUAAAUUUAGGUUUAGGAGUAUAAUUUUUUAUAUAUAUAAUUACACUAAAGAAGAAUAUUAAUCAAAUAACCCUUAAAAAAUUCCUUUUAAUUUAUGGUUUAUUUUUUUUAUCUAAUUUAAAGUGAAUUUUAUACCUGAUAAUAUUUUAUCUAAUUUUAUUACACGCUAAAAAAAUUAUGAAAACUGUAGUUCUUGUCGGAUGUAUUUCGUACGUAAUGGAAUUGUAGAUGGUUUCAUGGAAUAAUAAAAAAUAUUUUAUAUAAAGUAUAAUUUAUUUCAUGAUGUAAUAGCAAUAGUUAAAUUCAUAAUAUUUAAAUUAAAAAUCAUCAAUAUUAAUAUAUAUUUUUUAAAAUUAUUUUAUAACCUCAAUUUUAAAAACAUUAUUAACCAAACACAUUAAAUUACUUUUUCUUCAGCCUCAAUUUCAACCAUAAUUUUAACCAAACACCUAUUUUUUCAAACCAACUUCAACUAAAAGUACUUUUUAUAAAACAAUUUUUUUCAAAUCAUAACCACAACAGCUACCGCAAUACCAAACACACUCUUAAUCAACUUAAAUUUGAGUGUACCUUCCGAGUAAGACAAACCCUGUAUUUUAAAAUACUAUUGCCAAAAGAUCCCCUUAUAUAUGGAUCAAGACAACAGUAUCACUCCCAUUUUAGUAAUAGAAUAAGUUUUACAUAAUUUUCAAGUUUAGUAGAAUAGUAGUGGAUUAAUUUUUUUAAUAUUUAAAAAUAAAAAAAUACUGUGGAGCUGUUGGUAUAAAUUCUAAAGUUAAGGACUCCUUUGUGCUUGGUAAAAUACGUCAAUUUAAAGUUAAUAAAUAAUAGCAUGCACGAAACUUCACGAUACCCAUGUUUUACACUGUUUUAGAGUAUGUUUGGUAUUGCGGUAGCUGUUGUGGUUGUGAUUUGAAAAAAAUUAUUUUAUAAAAAGUACUUUUAGUUGUGGUUCGUUUGAAAAAAUAGGUGUUUGGUUAAAACCGUGGUUGAAAUUGAGGUUGAAGAAAAAGUAGUUUAAUGUGUUUGAUUAAGAAUGUUUUUGAAAUUGAGGUUAUAAAAUAAUUUAAAAAUAUAUAUAUUAAUAUUGAUGGUUUUUAAUUUAAAUAUUAUGGAUUUAACUAUUGUGGUAACAUCAUGAAAUAAAUCAUACUUUAUAUAUAAAAAAAUUUAUUGUUCUAUUAAACUAUCUACAAUUCCAUUACGUACAAAAUUCAUCCGACAAGAACUACAGUUUUCAUAAUUUUUUAGCGUGUAAUAAAAUUAGAUAAAAUAUUAUCAUGUAUAAAAUUCACUCCAAACUAGUUUUUUUUUAAAAAAAAAUGUUAAAAAAAUUAACAAAAAAAAAACUUAACACACUAAAAAAAAAAAGAAAAAGAAAAAGAAAAAGAAAAAAGAGUCCACGCAGUGCAAGUGAACAGUGCAAGAGAAUUGCACCGUUCACUAUUUUUAAGUGAACAGUGCAUCACUUGCACUGUUCAAUGAACAGUGCAAUUAACGUGAACAGUGAAAAAAGUAAGAAAUGACUGCUUUUCCUUUCCUGCGUUGCUAACGCAGAAAUUAAGUGGGGCCCAGUAAACAGUAAAUCAAUUUUUUUCUUAACCAAAUAGCUGCGAACUGCAUUUUAAAUAAAACGCAGCCGCAGUCGCAGAGCCAAACAGGCUUAAUAGAUUGUUACAGUAAAAGCAAAGAGACAAGAACGGUUCAAGACAGAACAAUAAUGGAGGAACGCAAAAAGACAUUCCCUUUCUUGUCACUAAAGAGUAGCAAAAGUAGUAGUGAUGUUUUUUUCAACUUGCAUGUCUGUUAUGACUAUUUAUUAUGGGCUAUGCAUGACAUGGUCAGGGCAGCCUCUAAAAUCAUCCGAUCAGUCAAUUAUGCCAAGCGAUAGGCCUAGCUGAAGAGAAAUUUGUUGCCCAAACCUUGACUAACCUAGCAUGUCUAAGAGGAGACUUUGACUCCAAAACUAGCAAGUAAAUUUCCUCGUCUUUUGUUUAAUUUUUCUCAAGAUGAAGAAAUGGCUGGAUUAAUUUUCAUAUACGAAAAUCAAAAUUUUCUUAAUGGGAUCUUAAGAAAAUUUCUUUUCUUGUCCAAAUCAAGCCUCGAGAAAGCAUGUGCAAUUUAUAUAAGAAGCAAAUUCUAUUUCUUGACUUGUAUUUGCCUUUUGGAAUUUUCUGUACAAAUUUCUUGCCAGGAGUUGGAGAUAAUUCAAUGAACUUCCCCAAAUUUUGAAUUCCCCUCCUGUUCUGCGGUGGUAUCAUAGGACUUCAUUGCACUAUUCUGUGCAUGGAUACUUUGGAAAACAAAGGCUCUUAGCUGAAACCAAAGAACACUCUCUGGCACAUUCCAUUCACUAUACCAGUAAAUAGACAGAUAGAAAUGAAAAUGUUGAUGGAAAAUAUUUUAUUAAUAAUUUCAGAUAAAAAUAACAAUAAAAAAUUUCAAAUCUCUUAAAAUUCUGACCACAAUAGCAACAAAAUAGAAAAAAAUAAAACGGAUCAGAUUGCUUUUGAUGCAUACUGUUUCAUUCUUUUUCUCACUUCUUCGACGUAUUUUCAAGAAGAUGGAAAUUCUUGAUCUUAGUUAGAAACAAAUUGGUUUUUCAAGAAGAGAUUAUUAGUUGGGAUAUUGCAUUUGAGUUGGUUCUUCACCAUUUAAUGUUAUAAUUUAAGAUAAUUGAUGAAAACUAUUGAUAUAUACAGGAAAGUUCAGAAAGCAUCUUUAAUUGAUUUGAUAAGGAAAGUCUUGUUUGUUUUGGCUAUAAGAUUUUUCUAUGUAUUAUUGCAUGCUUUUUACUGCUUUUUGGCCUUUCAUUCGAAGGAUAUAAAAAUAAUAAGAACAUUUUUUAUUCAUUAUCAAUGCUUGAUUUUAGCACGAUAAAAUCCAAGGGAUUGAUGGUCUGGUGUUUGUGGUGCUGGUAAAUGUAAGAACGGACCGAGAGAUGAAAUAGGAAAAACCCAUGUCUAUUAGUUGGCACCGGUGAUCAUUAGGCCCUUGCCGCCCACGAAAUCGCUUUAUCCUGUUGUUAAUUUUUUAAUGAAGCGUAUCAAGUGUUUGAUAAAAUUCCUUAACUGGAAAAAAAAAACCUUUUUUUAAUGAAGCGUAUCAAGUGUUUACACUUUACAGUGCUUUAGAAUAAGUUUGGUUUUUAAAAUAUUUUUUAAAAAAAUACAUCUAAUUAAUUUUUUGAUGAUUUAAAAAUAAUAAAAAUAUAUUUUAGAAUAAAAAUAUAUUUUUUUAAAUACUUUUACACCACAAAAACAACUACUUUUCAAGUCUUCCUACCCAUCGUUAAAUCAAACCUAUAAAACCUAACCAUUACAGUUUCUCUCUCCAUCGUCUUCCUCUGCUCUUGUCAUGGCAUCAACUCAUUAAGUACAGGUAAAGAUACUUGAUGUCUGUCAAGCAUAGGUUUUAGAACCGGCUUGAGGGCCUGGUUAAAUAUUUGGGUUUCAAGUUUUUAUCUGGUUAAUUUUUUUAAAAAAAUUAAAAUAAUAUUGUUUUAGUAGAAGAAUAAAAAUUAACAGGUUGUAAUUAGGUUUUUGACCGGAUCUUAUCAAGUUAAUCUGCCGGAUCACACCAGGUUUUUUCUUUCUUUUUUUUUCCAACCCGGCUCAGUUCCAGUUGCAAGUCAGCCGGAUCCUGAAUCAACCUACCAAAUCAGGCCGGGUUUCAAAUCUAUGCUGUCAAGUCACCCCGUCCUUGAACUCACUUGACCCAGCCACCGAGUUAUCUUUUCCGCUCAUCUUUUUUUAUAUCCUGUUCUUGAAAGUCGCUCCAGCUGAACACGCUUAUUCCUCUACAAACUAUUGCAUUUACCAAUACACGCUUGAGAAAUUUCCUUGCUUUUUUUUCCUUGCAUGUGUUACAUUUUUGUCUUUUAUAAUUAUAAUUAUUGCAUUGCUAAUAAUUUGCAAGAAAUAAUAUUCUUUCUCUGAAAAAGGCUUGAAGCAUUAUAGAUAAUCUCUUAUAGGAAUCUCUUUAUUAAAUCAUCAAAAUAUCAGAAAAUAGCGGAAAUGAUAAACUGUGCAGAAUUGAUGCAGUCUUCCUUAAUGCUUUCAACCUUUUACACUGAUUGAGUCCUCUAGAAAACUAUUAGAUGCCAUAAAGCAAGAGAGGAAUAUAUUUUGGAGUGACAUAGAUAUUAUGUUUUAAAAUGAAAUGUAUUUAAAUUUAUUUUUAAAAAUUUAUUUUUAAAAAUUUAUUUUUAAUGUUAACACAUCAAACUAAUCUAAAAAUAUUUAAAAAAUCAUUUAAAAAAAUAAAACAUUCAGCAACCACCAUGAAAUUACCACUCUAAAUUACCACAUAGAUUGUUGCUUGCUCUUUGACAAUUAUUGCAUUUCUAAUAAAACAUACUUUCUCAAUUUCCUUCUUUUUUUUCUUUUUUAACUAUACUCAAUCUGCACCUGCCACGAAAUUACCAAUAAGUAAAUUCCAGCUCAAUAUUUUCCAAUACGCACUUUUGAGAAAUUUCCUUGCUUUUUUCUUUCCUUGUACGUGUUACCUUUUUAUCUUUUAUAAUUAUAAUUAUUGCAUUGCUAAUAAUUUGCAAGAAAUAAUAUUCUUUCUCUGAAAAGGGCUUGAGAAAACCCGAAGCAUAGUAUAUAAUCUCUUAUAGGAAUCUCUUUGUUAAAUCAUCAAAAUAUCAAAGUCUGUUUCCAAAGUUAUGACUACAGUUUAUAUAUAGAAACAACUAAAUAGAAAAAUUAUUAUUUUUUAAAUAGAACAACCAGAAGAGCUUGAUAAUAUUUAAUACAAAAAUAAAAUAGAAAAAUUAUUCCUUUUUAAGUAGAAACAAAAUUAUAAAGAUUUAAUAAUACUGAAUAAAAAAAAUUAAAAUUUCUAAACUAAAUUUAAAAAAAUAACUGAGAAAAUAUUUAUUAUCCCAAUAGUUCUAAUAUUAAAAUCUCAUUUAUCAUAUGUUAGAUCUAUCAAAUAAUAAUAAUUGAACAGUUUUUAGUGAAUUAAGUUCAAUUCAAGAUAACAAAAUAAAGUUUGUUGAGGCUUAUCUUGGAACCGGUAUUAAUUAGUGAGAAUAAGAAAAUCCUAUACAAAUUAUACAAAAUUAAUUAUUAAUUAUCGAUAUUUAUUAUUGAUAAUCAAUAAUGAAUAAUAGCUUAUUUUCUAGUAUAAACUAUGUUUGGAAUGAAAUUGAUAAAAGACAUGAUACACAAUUAAUGAUGGGAUCAUAUAUAUAAAUAAUAAAAUUGAGAUUUUUCAAUUACCUUUAAAUAUAUCAUGGUUUUAAUAGGUGAACGAUACAUUCUUUGAAUUUAUUAGAAGAAAUGUGUAAUGUAAAUUAUAAAAUAAUUUUUUUUUUAUAUACAUAAUAAUAAUAAUAAAUUAGAUGAUAAUAAUAAGAAAAUAGAAAUUAAUUUGAAUAAAUGGUACGAGUUUCUAUUCUAAUAUAUCUAGGGAAGAAGUUUGAAAAAUAGAAUGAAGUUAAAUAUUCUUAAUAAAAAAAAAAGAAAUAAAAUAUCACAGCAUAAAGAGAUGUGGUAAAUCUUAUGUUGGGAGACUGCUCUUCCAAGGAUCCUACGGUUGCGAGCCAUACACGCUUGAGAAAUGGUGUGUUAUCCUUGCGACCAUAAAAUAUCCUUGCGACACAUCUUCCAAGGAUCCUAUGGAUAGCACUUGCGAGCAAUCUUGUUUUUUCAAUGCCGCCAUUCAGCAAGUCCACAUGUCAUGAGUCUACACGGCAUCAAAUUUGCAAAAUCAUAUGGCCCAUUGAUAAAAAGAUGUGUCGAAGCGAAAUCUGUUUUAGGCUUUUAGGUUGAUUUUAUAUGGGUCUCUGACUUGGCUGAUUUUAUUUGAAUAUAUUAUUUGAUUAGUUCAUUUAUAGGUUGACUCUACUAUAUAUUCUGCCUUGCAUUGACAGGAAAUUUCACUAGAAAUUUCAAGUAAUUUACACAGGAAAUUUCCUGCAUGUGUUACAUUUUUAUCUUUUAUAAUUAUAAUUAUUGCAUUGCUAAUAAUUUGCAAGAAAUAAUAUUCUUUCUCUGAAAAGGGCUUGAGAAAACCCUAAGCAUUGUAGAUAAUCUCUUAUAGGAAUCUCUUUAUUAAAUCAUCGAAAUAUCAGAGUAUGUUUCCAAAUACUAUUACUACAAGAAACAACUGAAUAGAAAAAUUAUUCUUUUUUAAAUAAAAAAAAACUAGAAAAGCCUGAUAAUAGUAUUGAAUAAAAAAUAAAAUUGAAAUUUAAUCAACAAUAAUUUCUCAUCUCCAAUAAAAAUUUAGGUUUAUCAUUUGGGUAACACAAACCCUGUAUUUUAAAAUACUAUUGCAAAAAAUUCCUAUUAUAUAUGAAUCAAGAUAACAGUAAAUAACUUUUACCUAUUUUUUCAAGUUUGUACGUAGAAUAGUAGUGGAAUAAUGUUUUUAAUAUUUGAAAAUUUUAAAAAAAAUACUGUGUAACUGUUUUGUAUAAAUUCUAAAGUUAAGGACUCUUUUGUGCUUGGUAAAAUACCUCACAAUAAAAUUAAUAAAUAAUAACACAAGCAAGGACCAAAGUUAAUAAAUAAUAGCAUGCUUUUAUAGAUUGUUACAGUAAAAGCACAGAAAGAAGAACGGUUCAAGACAGAACAAUAAUGGAGGAACGCAAAAAGACAUUCCCUUUCUUGUCAUAAAGUUUUGAAUAGUACUUUUGUGUAUUAUUUUCGUAAAGUUUUUCAAACUUCCAAUAUUUACAUGGCUUACUCGAUGAAAAAGCAAGAGCAAAAGGAAACGCACCCCAUAUUUAUUGUUCCCUUUCCCGUCUUUACAUGGCUUACUCGAUGAAAAAGCAAACACCCCAUUAGUUGUUGCCACCAAAUUCCAGUACACGCUUGAGAAAUUUCCUUGCGUUUUUUUCCCUCUACGUACGCGUUACCUUUUACCUCUUUUAUAAUUUUGAUUAUUGCAUUGCUAAUAAUCUGCAAGAAAGAUGAUGAAAAUUUUUUAGUGAAUUCAAAAUAACAAAAUAAGGUUUGUUGAGGCUUUUCUUGGAACCUCGCUUGGGGUUUAAUUAGCGAGAAUGAAUUCUACAAAGAUAUCGGACUGUGAGUUUGUUUCUAAUGCAAUUCACAAUAAUGACCUUGUGGAUGGACUCUCAGAAUACGUUAGUGAGACAGAAUAUAAUGAGGUUAAUAAUGGGCUUCUACAACUCAUCAUUUAUCCCCAGGGAAGGCCAGGUGGGCCUAGGCCACUGCUUCUGUUAAAAAUAAACUAAAAUAACACUUGUAAGGUGAUACAUAUUCUUGCAAUAAAUAAAGCCAGCAAAGGCAGAUCUGUGUGUCUAUAUAUACAUGAACUGCUGAUUCGAUUUGAACACCCCAUUUCUCCGAUUCAAUAACUUCAGUUGCAAAACUUCUAUCUCCGAUUGCGGCAAUUUCAUAGCUAACUCUUUGUUAUACACAGGUAUAUAAUUUCAUAGCUAACUCUUUGUUAUACAGAGGUAUAUACGGCUAACUCUUCUUUUCUUCUUUCUUGUUUUAAAUAUUUCAUGUCUUUACCAAUAACAAUAAUGUGAAAGCUUUGUAUGUUUCAUGUUUAACUUCAGUUGCUAUUGUCUUAUGCUCUCUCAUUAUUAAGCUUAAAUUGCGAAUUGAUUGUUCCUUCAAUUCUGCAGCUGAAAUGGCAGAGCCAGAGUCUUCUCGUUCUAUACCAGAAUGGACCUAUGAUGUCUUCUUGAGUUUUAGAGGAGAAGACACUCGCAAGACAUUUACAGAUCAUCUAUAUGCUGCCUUAGUCCAAGCAAAAAUCCACACUUUUCGAGAUGAUGAUGAACUUCCUAGAGGAGAAGAAAUCUCCGAUCAUGUCCUCAGGGCUAUUCAAGAAUCAAAGAUAUCCAUAGUUGUCUUCUCAAAAGGAUAUGCUUCUUCUAGAUGGUGUCUCGAUGAACUAGUAGAGAUUCUGAAGUGUAAAAGGAAGAAAACCGGUCAGAUUGUUCUUCCUAUAUUCUAUGACAUUGAUCCUUUAGAUGUGAGAAAACAGACUGGCAGAUUUGCAGAAGCAUUUGUUAAACAUGAAGAGCGUUUUGAAGAGAAGCUGGUGAAGGAGUGGAGAAAAGCUCUUAAGGAGGCAGGAAAUCUAUCUGGAUGGAAUCUCAAUGAUAUGGCAAAUGGGUAUGCCUUUUUUUCUCUAAGAUUCACUUGCACACAUUUAUGGAGUGAUUAUACUUUACAUUUUUCAAUGUGAAACAAUAAAAUACUUAAUUGGCUCGCUAUCAAUGACUUGCUUUUGUCUAUGAGCAGGCCUGAAGCAAAUUUUGUCAAAGAGAUUAUCAAGGAUGUGUUGAAUAAAUUAGGACCCAAGCACUUAUAUGUUCCUGAGCACCUAGUAGGUAUGGAUCGGCUUUCUCGCAAUAUUUUUUACUUUCUAAGUACUGCAAUAGAUGAUGUACAAAUUGUGGGCAUACAUGGGAUGCUAGGAAUAGGAAAGACGACUAUAGCAAAAGUUGUAUUUAAUCAACUCUGCAAUGGAUUCGAGGGAAGCUGUUUUCUUUCGGAUAUAAAUGAAAAAUCAAAACAAUUCAAUGGUCUGGCUCUUUUACAAGAGCAACUUCUUCAUAAUAUUUUAAAACAAGAUGUUGCUAACAUCAAUUGUGUCGAUAGAGGAAAGGUUCUGAUCAAAGAGCGACUUUGUCGCAAAAGAGUUCUUCUUGUUGCUGAUGAUGUGGCUCGUCAGGACCAGCUAAAUGCUUUGAUGGGAGAGCGAAGUUGGUUUGGUCCCGGAAGUAGAGUAAUUAUUACAACAAGAGAUUCAAAUCUUCUUCGUGAAGCAGAUCAAACAAAUCGGAUCGAAGAAUUGGAACCAGAUGAGGCCCUUCAGCUUUUCAGCUGGCAUGCCUUUAAGGACACCAAGCCAGCAAAAGAUUAUAUUGAGCUUUCAAAGAAAGCAGUUGAUUACUGUGGAGGACUUCCUUUUGCUCUUGAGGUUAUAGGAGCUCGUCUGUCCGGGAAAAACAGAGUUACGUGGGAAAGUGAAAUUGACAACUUGAGCAGAAUUCCAAACCAAGACAUUCAAGGAAAGCUUCUAACAAGUUAUCACGCACUUGAUGGUGAACUACAAAGAGCAUUCCUUGAUAUUGCAUGCUUCUUUAUUGGUAAAGAGAAAGAAUACGUCGCAAAACUGCUAGGAGCCCGUUGCGGUUACAAUCCAGAAGUUGUUUUGGAAACUCUCCAUGAAAGGUCUAUGAUUAAAGUAUUGGGAGAGACGGUAACCAUGCAUGAUCUAUUACGAGACAUGGGAAGGGAGGUCGUUCGUGAAUCGUCUCCAAAAGAACCUGGAUAGAGGACCAGAAAUUGGAAUCAAGAGGAUGCAUGGAAUGUGCUUGAGCAGCUGAAGGUAAAAAAAAAUAGUCAUGGAACACUUGACUGAUCAAAGAAAAAAAAUUAUUUAUUUUCUCUUAUUGAGUUCCAUAGUUUAAACUUUCUCGUUACACAUAAUUUUUAGUUUGGUAUAUAUAUUCUACUGUUUUUUAUAAUCUUUAUAUUUAUAUUUUUAAAUAUAAGUACACAUAGCAUCAUUUGAAUCUUUUGAUUGAAAGUAAAAGCUUUAUCUCGUAAAAUCAUCUCUAGAAGGUUUUAUUUGGUCAAUCUUCAAAAACUUAGGGAUUAAAAAAAAAAAACUUCUUACUUGAUUCAAUUUGGAAACCUCAAGGAGAAAAUUGAAACAAGUAUAACCUCACGGGGAGAAGUUGAAUUCUCCCCAAACUCAGGGGUUAAUUAAAAUUAACCUUUAAAUUUCUAUCCAUGCCCAGUUGCCCACGAAAGAGAAGAGGUACAUCCACGUGAAGCUCAUUUUGGGUUUGGGUUAGUUGAAAAUAUCUAGUGGGUGGGCCUUUUUUCUGUUUUUCUGUUUUUUUUUUGUUUUUAUGCACAGAAUACAUGAAAUAAUAAAUUUAAAUCCAACAAAUCCAAUAGAGAUAUAAUAUUGUAUACGAUCAACAUGAAAGAAUUUUACGAAAAGACAUGAAAAUAUCAUAUAUUAUGUGUCUCUGCCAGUCAUAAUUGUAUUGUUUUGUGUAUUAUCAAUUAUCUUUCUUGUAUAGGAAAUAUCAUGUUGGAUUUUGCUGAUGACAAACUUAAUCCUAGAGAUUGCAUCUGCGGUUUUUGACCAGACGGGUUAUGCAUUAAUUGGCAUGGUGUUGGCAUUUGUAGCUUUGCUUCUUGCUGCCGUUGAACUCAUUCACAUGGCUCGAAAGGAAAGAACUAAACGGGUGGGCCUAUUGCCACCUUUUAUUCUCCAUGCAACUAGAAAGCCUGUUGGCUGGUGCUGUCUGGCAAUGUGUUUAUUCGACUGUGGAGUAUAUGUAUACUCGUCAGAAGAAAGAUAAUCCAAUUAAGAUGUGUCUUUUACCUUUCAUUUUCUUAUUAUGCGUGGCGAUUUCCAAAUUAUUAGUCGACAAGAGUUCCGUUGUAAAUAGUUCUUAGCAAUAGUAUUUUCUUUGAACUAGAAGGAAUUUCUAGUAUUGUGUUCUAAGGACUCUUUUUAGUGGGAAUGAGUCAAAGAUUUUGAUUCCUAGAUUUUCUUAUCGAAGACCCAGACUUGUAAUGCAAUUAAGACACUAUAUUUUAGACAGUGAGCAUGAGUUGAUGUGGACAAUCUAGCUAUUAUUGAUAUGCGGUUCAGUAACCUCAAAUAACUAUGAAAGGAAAAAACUGUCAUUCACUGAUUUAAUUGGAAAUUAUUUGCGAGAAAGCUAAAAAGAAUUAGAGUUUUUUAAUUUAUAAAAUUAUAAUUCUAAAUUCUAAAAAAAAUUCAAUUAUUUUUAAAAUUAUUUUAAAAAAUAAAACAUCAACUAUUUAUAUAAUAGCUAAAUAAAUCUAUUAAAAUAAAUUGAAAAUAACUAGUAAAAUCAAGCAAAUAAUUCAAAAAUAAUAAGAAAAUAAAUAUAUUUCCUAGAUCUAAUUUGAGUAUAUUUUUUAUCUUGAUUGACUGACUUGUCAAGUCUUUAUUCCGUAUAAACAAAUUUUAUUCUAAAAGUCUGUUUGAUAUUUCUUCACUUAUCUAUGAAAUAUUACUUCUACUGUACAGAAUAGAAAUAAAAAUUAGAUGAUAAUAUUUAUUCUAAAAGUCUUCGUUAAGGAUAAAUGAACUUUAUUCUAAGAGUUUGUUUGAUAUUUUUUUAUUUAUUAAUGAAAUAUUACUUCUACUGUAUAGUUAUUGGGUUCCGAGUCGAUCCACCGGGUCAAUAGGCGAACAGUAUAUUCUUUGAAUUUAUUAGAAGAAAUGUGUAAUGUAAAUUAUAAAAAAUAUUUAUUUUUCUGAUAUAUAUAAUAAUAAUAAAUUAGAUGAUUGUCACACCCGACAUCGCGGCGACCUUAAAAAUUUAAUUCUUUGGAAAAGAACAGAUUUCUGGCAUCCUAUUCUUUAAUGGGGAUAUUCUUUGUUUAAGGAGUCGCCACCUAGUAUUAUGGUCACUAGGAACCCUAACUGGUCAACAGAGAGUCUACGGUUUGGGACUGGUUACGUAAAAGGGAAGAUAUUAUCACCCCUUAAACGUCCUGCCUGAGGCAGGCUGCACUGCUAGUUUUAUCUUUAAUUGCUAAAUGUUUAUUAGUUUACGAUAUGAUAAUUUACUUAUAAUAUUCCCGACUCUGGCGUCAGUGAAUAUUAAACUACGAAUACUUCCAACUCUGGCGUUGGUCAAUAUCACGUAGCUAUAAAAUAAAUUAGAUUAAUAUUUUUUAUUUUCCCGGCUCUAGCGCCAGUGAAUAAAUAAACAAAAUAAAAUUUGAUUUUUUUACGCAUGCAUAUUUUUUUAUUUUUUUUAGCUAAAUAAAAUAAAGUACAACAAAUAAAAAUAAUAUAAAUUUAAACCGGUAUUUUUAUUCCUGACUCUGGCGUCAGUGAAUAAACCAAUAAAUUUACAUUAUUUUUAUUCAUCUAAAUAAAUUUAAUUUUUUACGCAUGCACAUUUUUUAUUUUUUAGCUAAAUAAAAUAAAGUACAACAAAUAAAAAUAAUAUAAAUUUAAACCGGUGUUUUUUAUUCCUGACUCUGGCGCCAGUGAAUAAACCAAUAAAUUUACGUUAUUUUUAUUCAUCUAAAUAAAUUUAAUUUUUUACGCAUGCACAGUUUUUAUUUUUUAGCUAAAUAAAAUAAAGUACAACAAAUAAAGAUAAUAUAAGUUUAAACCGGUAUUUUUAUUCCUGACUCUGGCGCCAGUGAAUAAACCAAUAAAUUUACAUUAUUUUUAUUCAUCUAAAGAAAAUAAAAUACAACGAAUAAAAAUAAUAUAAAUUUAAACCGGUAUUUUAUUCCUGACUCUGGCGUCAGUGAAUAAACCAAUAAAUUUACAUUAUUCUUAUCCAUACAUGCAUAUUUUUUUAUUUUUUAUUUUUCUGCCUUUUAUUUUUUUAUUUUUUUUAUUAUAUAUUUUUUUAACUGGGCGGGGCCCGGCCCGGCCCAGAAAAAAAAAAAUUGGGGGCUGGGCCCAGCGCAGCCCACAUGGACUGGGCUGGACCCAGCCAGCCCAGCCCGGUCACUGGCCCAAGCCAGUGACCCGGCUGGGUAAAAACUAAAGGCACGCGUGACUUAUUCACGCGUGCCCGAACACUGGUGAAGGUAAUUAAAUUACCUUCACACAGUGUUCUUGCAGCACAUAAUUAUCUUUUGAAAUGAAAAUGCAGAGGAGACGGGGUCAUACCUGCUUCUGGAGACCGAAGAUGCUGCUUCUGGAGACCGAAGAUGUUGCUUCUGGAGACUGAGAUGCUUGCAGCGCUGCUUGAUGAUUUUCGCCUAAUGUUCCUCUGGUUUUCCUUCUGUGAAUACUUAUCUAUGCUUUCCUUCUUGAUUUCUCUGUAACUUCUAAAGCUACAAAGAAGAUUCCGGCUUGUUGUGAGUGUUCUUUGGCUGAAUCCGGGUUUUUUUGUUUGCAGGUUCGGAGACAAUUUCAAGGAUAAUUCUCCUUACCGUGUCCUGCCUUCUUGUCCUCUCCUUCUCUGUGUAUUUGGAUUUGUGCUCUGUUUUCUCUGCCUUUUUCUUUUAACUCUGUUUUUCUGGGUUGAUUUUUUCGGUUCUCUCCCUCCUUUUCUUACUGUGUAUAAUUUCUCUGGUUUUCUUGCUUUUUUUCUUGCUCUCCCUCCUUUUUUUUUCUUUAGGUGUUCUUCUCCCUUUUAUAAACCCAGCCGAUUGCCCCCCAUCAGUCCUGCCUUUGCAGGACUGUUAUCUUCCACGAACGAGAUCGUGGGCGAGAGACGUGGUCCUCGAUUGGAUUGAAUCCGUUGCAGAUUUUCCAGCCUGUUGAAUCGGGAUGGAGAAGACGAACACGACUGUUCUACCCGCAGCGGCGACGUUUCGGCAGCAAUGGAUUUCACCAGCAACGACGCCGUUUCAAGCAGCAAAUGGACAUUUUUAUUUUGAUCCCUGAACUGUUGGAAAUUCGGCAAUUGGACCUUAAAAAAAAUUCCACUUAAUUUUGUCCCUUUGGAUUAAUUUCAAUUAAAUCCUUAAAUUAUAACACUGUUUACAAAACAGUCCUUAAUUCCUGGAUUGUUCAAUUUAGCCCUUAAUUAAAUCUUUAACCUUUCAAAAUUGAUCAAUUAACUCUCAAAUUACAUCCUCAAACUUCAAAUUUUGUUGUUUUAACCCCAUUGGCAACUAUAUUUAAUUUUUUUAUUAUUUGUUCAAAAAUUGGUUAUGACAGUUGCUCCCUCUUUAUAAUAUUUACAAUACAAAGAUAUUGAAAAAUUUCAUUUUUCCUUAGCUUUGUGUAGUAAAUUUAUAAAGAAAAGUAGAUAAAAAAAAAAUCUUGAAAACAGUAGAUUGACAUAUGACUUUUUACGGAGAGAAUAAGUUAUUUGGAAGAUGACUUUUUUUUUUUUUUUUGAAACUGAUCAAAUUAUUUUGGGUAACCUACCUAAUGAUAAAAGAAACGCGAAGAAUUUCGCGAGUGGUCUAAUUGUUCCAGGCGACCUACCCAAUGAUUGAAAAAUACGAGGAUUUUUUUUUUUGUGAUGGUAUAUUGUAAUGGGUUACCGGCCCAGAAUAAAGUGGUUUAUUGUAAAGGGUUACCGGCCCAAAUGGUCACAUUGUAAUGGGUUACCUGCCCAGUGUAGGAUGGUAAAUUGUAAUGGGUUACCAGCCCAGUCUAGGAUGGUAAAUUGUAAUGGGUUACCAGCCCAGUUGGUCACAUUGUAAUGGGUUACCUGCCCAGUUGGUCACAUUGUAAUGGGUUACCAGCCCAGUUGGUCACAUUGUAAUGGGUUACCUGCCCAGUGGAUAAAUACGUGGAUUUUUUUUUAAUAAGAUAUGAUAGGGCUCGAAGACGCACUCCAAAGGAGGUAGGAUAGGAAAUGCACUACCUUUGAUGUUCGAGGGCUCGAAGGCGCCCUCGAAAUGGAGAUAAAACGAGGGCUCGAAGACGCGCUCGAAUGGAGAUAAGAUGAGGGCUCGAAGGCACGCUCGAAUGGAGACAAGACGAGGGCUCAACGGCACGCUCGAAAAAGAACUCAAAAGGAGGUAGGAUAGGAAAUGCACUACCUCAGGAGUGGAAACUGAAAUGUGGUGGAAAAAUAUAGAGAGAGAUUUUUUUAGGUGGCCUAAUUCUCAUGGGCGGCCUGCCUAGGUUGAAAAAUUCUCAAAAGCGAAAAUUUUUCAAAAGCAAUUUCAAUGUUGGCCAUCCACUUGAUGGAUUCCGUUAGAAUUUUCUCUAAUAAAAUUUGCAGCACUCAUUGUCCAAUGUUUCAAAGUUUAAAUGAUAUGCAUGCAUCUUUACCUGACUUGAAAUAUAGGCCCCCCAUUUCUUCUUAAUCUUCUCAUUGUAUGGUUGAUGAGAUCUUGCUAUCUGAUUUGAGUCAUCUUUGUCGUUUGGAUUUCUAGCGCACUCGAGUUAGCCCAUAUAAGACUUUUUCCAGAUUUGUUUGCACAACUCAGCCUUUGUGGUGCCCAUCGUGACCCACAUGCUUGAUGGACUCGUCAAAUAAUUUGAGAGGAUCAUUCAUUACCCCUUGACUCACUGCUAAAAACAUUCGGUGUCACUAGCUGAAAGGAUCAAGCUGUCUUUCAUAAACCAAAAUGCCCCCUUGUCUUGUUGAAGGAAAUUACCAUCUCUUUUUUUUUUAGAAUUUUCCUUCUGAACACAAUAUCCCCUUGUAUUGGUCAUUCCCCCUAAGUGUGCUCUGUCAGCGACUUUAGACAAAUAAUGGUUUUAAGAGACCCUUUUCUCAUUUCUAUCCUUUUUCAGUUUGGUGAAGAAGUAUGGGUCUAGAAUAAAUCUUGAAAUCUUGAUCUUGCAUUUUUGAAAACAAAAAUUAUUUCAAUAUGAGUCUAAAACAAUUUACUUUCAAAAUCUUGCAACUCCUUGGUUAUUUUCUUUCUUGGAAAAGAGAUUAUUUGCUCUUGUGUUUGGCAAUGAGAUCUUCGGUGAAAAAUACGUUAUGAGAUGACCUUUUGUGUCAAAGUGAAGGGCUCGAGAGAAAGCUCGAGAUUUUGUAUGAGAAAAACAUCUCUUUUUAACUUUUAUUUUUAUCAGCAUGAAUAAUAAUGGGUAGUUUAUUCUUGAUGCCAUGAAUUUCAUGAAAAACUAUUCUUUGGAUUUUGAGAGCAUUGUUUAUUGUUCCAGGUUGCUUGCUUGCUUGAUUAGAAAGGACUUCUACAAGCACGUAAUGUAGGCUGUGGUUUUUGGCUAUGAAAGAAAAGGACUCGUAGGGCUCAAAGAGUGUUUCAGGGUUUCAAAGACUGAAGAUCACUAUUAAUAGUUUGACUCUUGACGUCAUUCAUAUUUUCUUUUGCCGCUCUUCUUUGAUUUGCCCUUUUUUCUUCUUUCUUUUUCAUUGCUUUGCUAGAGCCUACUCAUUUUAUCUUGGUUAUCACUUUUUCUUGUGAUUUGGGCAUGCCCCCUAGCACUUGAGUUUCUUGGGCUCUUUUGCCUUUUGGCUUUCUCACGGCUUUAUCAUUUUUCUUGAUCAUUGAAAUUUCACUUGCCCCCAGUGUGGGGUGUGAUCUUAGUCAGGAUUUUUAAUGAAAGAAAAAUUAUUCAGGCUCAAAAAGGGAUCGCAAGGGAUGUACUUAUUUUAGAACGUGAAAGGAAUAACAAAGAUGGCCUUUCCUCAUUUCAAACGUAAGCAACUAUGAUCAAUAAACUUUGACCUCAUCCAGUGUGAUGGUUUAGUCUUUACGAGGAUGCAUUUCAUGAGUUAUGAGCAACAAGUUCACUACAUACCAUUAUUCAUACAUUUAAAAACACAUGAUUCAAGAGUUAUGGGAUAAGGGUAUUUAUUCAUUUUUUUUUUGUUUUUAGAGUUUGGUCACCUCUAUGUAGGAGUUGCUUGAUUCAUUUGUCAUUCUACACGUAGAAUGUCAAAAAUCAUUUUUGAAUAAACAUCAAAUUACUUUUGAAAUCAAAAUACCAGAUCAAUUUUUCAAAACUCAAAUAAGAAAACUGAUUUUGGUAAAAGUAAUGAAUUCAAUCUAUGAGAUCAUGCAAGGCUUCAAGAGUGUAUUUACUGAUUCUUUAAUAUCAAUAACAUUUAUGAGAGAGAAAAGAUAUGCAAAGUGAAUUUCUUGGCAAAACUUUUAUUGAUUUGAUGAGAACUUAUACAAUCAUGGAUAAUAUUUCUUCACAGAAUUGGAAUUCACUGGCCUACUCAAAUCUUCUCCAUCCAUUCCUGUCAGUAUCAACGCCCCUCCAGAGAAUGCCUUCUUUACUACAUAUGGACCUUCAUAAUUAGGUGCCCACUUGCUAUGAUUCUCACUAGGUAGUAAUAGGAUUUUUCUCAAUACAAGAUCUCCUUCUUUAAACUCUCUUGGUCGAACUUUUCUCUCAUAGGCUCUUGCUAUCCUGUUUUGAUACAGUUGGUGGUGACAAAUUGCAGCUAAUCUCUUCUUACUGAUCAUAUUUAGCUGUUCGUAUCGUAUCUCAGCCCAUUUAGCCUCUUCUAGCUCAGAUUCCAUGAGAACCCUUAGAGAAGGAAUCUCUACUUCUAAAGGCAUCACUGCCUCCAUUCCGUAAACUAACGAAUAAGGUGUAGCCCCCGUUGACGUCCUUAUUGCUGUUCGAUAUGCAUGUAGAGCAUAAGGAAGCCAUUCCUGCCAAUCUUUAUAUAUGACCACCAUUUUCUGGACAAUCUUCUUUAUGUUCUUGUUAGCAGCUUCAACAGCACCAUUCAUCUUUGGUCUGUAAGGGGAUGAAUUAGAAUGCUUGAUUUUCCAUUUAGUGCAUAAUUCCAUGAUCAUUUUCCCAUUGAAGUUCUUGGCAUUAUCGGUUACUAUCCUUUCUGGCAAACCAUACCUACAAAUUAGAUCUCUCUCAAUGAAUCGCUUGACCACCUUCUGAGUCACAUGAGCAUAUGAGCAGGCCUCUACCCACUUUGUAAAAUAAUCAAUUGCGACCAAGAUAAACCGAUGACCAUUGCUGGCUUUUGGAUUAAUAGGCCCAAUCACAUCAAUUCCCCACAUCGCGAAUGGCCAAGGUGACACCAUAUUGAAUAAGGGCACUGGGGGUGCAUUGAUUUUGUCACUAUACACCUGACAUUUAUGACAUUUUCGAACAAAUUCUAUACAAUCUUUUUCCAUGGUCAACCAAAAAUACCCAGCUCUUUGCAUCUGUCUUGCCAUCAUGUGCCCAUUUGCAUGGGUGGUGCAAAUUCCUCCAUGCACUUCAUACAAUGCUUUAUUGGCUUCUGAUCUGUCUAGACAUCUUAAUAAAGUCCCAUCAAAUGACCUUUUGUAUAAGAUUUCUCCAUCUAUAAAGUAUUCCAUUGCCAUUCUUCUUAGAGUCUUCUUAUCUGUCUUUGAAGCUUCAGAAGGAUAUUCCCGAUAUUGGAUGAAUCUUUUUAUAUCUGCAUACCAAGGAUUGCCAUCCACUUCUUCUUCUAUUAAACAACAAUGAGCAGGAGAACUUCUAAUAUCAAUGCUUAUAGGAUGUACUCUGAUACCACAAUCGAUCGUAGCCAUAGAGGCCAAGGUUGCUAAAGCAUCCGCAAACUGAUUCUUAUCCCUUCCUAAAUGAUUGAACUCUAUCUUUUCAAAGUUUUCAGCCAAUUUGGAGAGAUAUUCCUGAUAUGGUUUCAAUUUCUCAUCUUUUGUCUGCCAUUCCCCCUUUGUCUGACAGAUUAUUAACAUAGAGUCUCCAUAUACCUCUAAUUUCCCUAUCUUCAGUUCCAAUGCAGCUUCUAAUCCAUGAAUGCAAGCCUCAUAUUCAGCUGUGUUAUUCGUGCAACUAAACUGCAGUUUGAUGGAGAUGGGAUAUUGUUUUCCUUCUGGAGAAAUUAUUACAGCACCAGCUCCAUUACCAGACACAUUCACCGCACCAUCAAAGUACAUAGUCCACCAAUCUCUUUCUAUUACCAACACAUCUUCAUCAGGGAAGUCAAAAUUUAAUGGCUCAUAGUCCUCAAUGGCGUUAUCAGCUAAAUGAUUCGCAAUUGCACUUCCUUUCAUAGAUUUUCUUGUUUUGUAGAUGAUAUCAUAUUCAGCCAACAACACUUGCCAUCUGGCCAGCCUAUUUGACAUAUAUGGCUUUUCAAAAAUAUAUUUCAGAGGAUCUACCUUUGAAAUUAACCAAGUGGUAUAGUAUAACAUAUAUUGUCGGAGUCUUUUCGCACUCCAUACCAAGCCACAACACAGCUUCUCAAUCAUACUGUAACGAGAUUCACAUUCAGUGAAUUUCUUACUAAGGUAGUAGAUGGCUUGCUCCUUUCUCCCGGACUCAUCAUGUUGGCCAAGCACACAGCCCAUUGCUGAUUCAGUCACUGUUAAGUACAAAAUGAGAGGCUUCCCAGGCACAGGUGGUACCAAUAGCGGUGGUUUCUGCAGAUAUUGUUUGAUCUUAUCAAAGGCUUCUUGACAAUCUUCAUCCCAUACUCCGGGGUUUUUCUUUCGAAGUAAUCGAAAGAUUGGUUCACAAGUGACUGUAAGUUGUGAAAUGAAUCGAGCAAUGUAAUUUAAACGCCCCAAAAAGCUUCGAACUUCUUUCUCAGUCUUAGGAGCUGACAUGGCUUGUAUGGCCUUCACUUUAUCAGGGUCUACCUCUAUACCAUUACUGCUUACCACAAAUCCCAAUAACUUCCCAGACUUCACUCCAAAUGUGCAUUUUGCAGGGUUCAACUUUAAUUGAUACUUUCUCAACCUUUCAAAUAAUUUCUUUAGAGCUGGGAUAUGAUUUUCCUCAUCUUUAGACUUAGCAAUCAUAUCAUCCACAUAGACCUCAAUUUCUUUAUGCAUCAUGUCAUGAAAUAGUGUCACCAUUGCUCUUUGAUAAGUUGCUCCAGCAUUUUUUAAUCCGAAUGGCAUAACUCUAUAACAAUAUGUUCCCCACGGAGUAACAAAUGUUGUCUUCUUCUUGUCUUGCUCGGCCAUUUUGAUUUGAUUAUACCCAGAGAAACCAUCCAUAAAAGAGUAAGUAGAACUCUUAGCAGCAUUAUCCACAAGUACAUCUAUGUGGGGUAACGGAAAAUCAUCCUUCGGGCUUGCCCUAUUCAAAUCUCGAAAAUCCACGCAUACCCUGAUUUUGUUGUCUUUCUUGGGUACUACUACAAUAUUGGACACCCAUUGAGAAUAAUCAACAACUUCUAAGAAUCCAGCAUCCCACUGUUUCGUUAUCUCUUCUUUUACUUUGAUUAGCAUAUCAGGCCUCGUCCUCCUCAACUUUUGCUUAAUCGGUUUACAACCCUCUAUCAAAGGUAGUUUAUGUACCACAAUAUCAGUAUCCAGACCAGGCAUAUCGGCAUAUGACCAGGCAAAAACAUCAACAUAUUCUUGUAAAAGAAUGACCAACUCGCUUCUCACACCAGCAGAUAUUAGCUUCCCUAUUUUCAACUCUCUUUUAUUAUGUUUGGUGCCCACAUUUAUCAGUUCUAGUUCUUCUUUAGCAGGCUUCCAUGUGUGAUCAGAUUGUUCCACUAACCUUGCGAACUCAUCGAUGUCUUCCUCACCCAACUCUUCCUCAUCCAUUGCAAUUAUAGUUUCAUCAAAGUUAGGCCAAUUAUCCACAGUGCAUUGAGUUUGUGAGCACAAUCCGCUUUCAGAUCUCCUGAAAGCGGAAAGUGUUUCGGUUAUGAGUGUAUAAUUCUGGGAAAGCAAAUAAAUAAACAAAUAACAAGAAAACAUGUUUGAAAGAAAAUAUGCAUGAUCUCAUUGAAUUUUAAAGGAUAGACGGGCUCAACAACAAAACCUUAUUGCCAAUCUCUUGAGCCACAAUGGUUUUGGCAAGGCACAAUUGUUCAAACAAUACAAUAAAAACAAAGAACAAACAAACAUUACUUUUUAAAAACAACUGGGACUUCAUGAAUUUCCCAAUUUUCCAACUCUUCUCCCUCAGCCAGCUUCCUCACGAAUUCGGAUGAGCCAUCUUCCAAAACACCAAUAGUUAGUUGUGGUAGCUGUUCGUAAGGACUCUCUUCUUCCUUUACAUCUUGCUCACUAACAUUUUCAAGAUAAUUGAUAGUAGCACCACUGAAUUCUUUUCUUAGCCCCUCCUCAUAAUCCUCAGCUUUUAUCACAUACGCGGCUCUUGGAAAUGUUACAUAGAUAGGUGGGAUUUCCAUUCGAUCUUCAUCUGGCUCUCUUCUUUCAAUCCGGGCUACUCUCUUUUCCCUUCUAUUUUCAGCUGCUCUUUUAAAAUCUGCUUUGCCAGGCUUAAACCCUAAGCCAAACCUCUGAUCGGCGCAUUUUAUUUUUACCGCAUUAACCCUCUCAGGCAUUCCAGUAGUUAGGUCAUAUUGAAAUGGUAAUCCAUGCUUCAAGAAGUAUUUAGCAGCCAUUUUUGCUGCUUCAGAAAUUUCUGGCUUUCUUCGUAUCAUAUUUUCAGGUACCCAUUCAGCAUUUACAACUUCAAAUGCAUGCAGAUUUCCAUCCUUACUUUCUUCAGCUUCUAUAUAAGGGAUCGAUACAUUUCUCAUCAUUGACAAAGUUUCUUCAGCUCUCACAGUCACCAAAUUCCCAUUGAUGAUGAACUUGACCCGUUGAUGUAAAGAAGAUGCGACAGCUCGAGCUGCAUGGAUCUAAGGUCUCCCUAGCAAAAUGUUGUAUGAUGGAUGAAUAUCCAUUACUUGUAAUGUGACUUGGAAUGGUUGGGGGCCAAUGACUAGUUCAACAUCAAUACUUCCAAUGAUUGGUCUAGGUGACCCAUCGUAUGCCCUUGCAGUCAUAGUACUUGGCUUCAUGUGAGAGGCAUCAACUGGCAUUUUAUCAAGUACAUGUCUCGGCAAUACAUUGAGAGCGGAACCAUUAUCCAUAAGCACCUUAGCAAUCACACAAUCCUUGCAUUUUACCGUGAUAUGCAAUGGUUUAUUAUGACCGGUCCCUUCAUGAUCCAACUCAUCAUCGGUAAAAUAGAGGUAGUUGGUGGCUUGAAUCCUACCCACCAAAUGUUCUAUGGAGUCUUGUGUGAUAUCCUGAGGAAUAUAUGCUUCAUUAAGAACCUUCUGAAGUGCGUUCCUAUGCAAUUCUGAACUCAAUAUUAAUGACAACAAAGAAAUCCUAGCGGGUGUUUUCUUUAGUUGAUCAACCACACUAUAUUCGCUGUGCUUCAUCAAUUUCAGGAAUUCAUUAGCCUCUUCAUCACUUACUGGCUUGUUAACCUCAUUUGACUUUGUCAAAUCCACCAUAUCCUUUCCUUUGGCUUUUCUUUGGUUUUCCAACUCUUCAGGAGUAAAACAUCUCCCACUCCGAGUGAGUCCUCCUAUUUCCGCAUGGAAAACGGGGGCAGGAUUUGUGCUGUGAAAGGAACAACCAUAAUUAUAGGGUUGGGCAUUAUAGCUUCCGCUAACAGUAUUCAUAGGCUUGGCUAGUAUCAUUUUUGGUGGACCCUUUUCGGUUGGUAUAUAUCUACAAACUUCCACUUUUUGGUUACAACCAGUCAUUGUUCCUACUAACUCAUCUUCUUUGGGUUUCAUCAAUCUUAACAUUCCCAACGUCAUCAUAUUUUCUACCUCCAAAUGAAACUCCUCGCACGAGUCAAUAUCAUGCCCAAGCUGCUGAUGAUAUUUACAAUAUUCAUUUGCAUUCCUUACAGCUUGUGUUUUGACUGGUGUCUUUAGAUAAUUUGUUUGCCUCAACAUCCCAUACAAUCUAUCCAUAGUCACCCUUAAAGUUGUUGUACUUCUCCUUCCUAUCUCCAAGUUAUUAACUCCCCCACUUCCCGAAGCAUGAUUUGGUAGAGGAUUAGAUUUCACAUUUGGAGAUUCAUCAAAAGAAAUCCACCCAGCUUUGAUGAGCUGAAGGAUUUUUCUUUUGAAUGCAACACAUCCAUCAAUAUGAUGACCAACAGCGCCAGGAUGGUAUUCACAUUUUUUAUCGGGUUUAUACCAAAAAGGAAAUGGUGGUUGUAAAGGUUCUAAGGGAACAGGUGCUACCUGGCCAAUACUAAGCAAUCUUUGGUGCAUUUCAGUAAGAGACAUGGGUAAUGGCGGAAGUUGCACUUGCUCUAUUGGAAAACUUCUUCUUGGGCGGUAAGUAGCAUUGGUUUGGUUGUUUAUUGGGUUAUUUUGGGUGUUUGUAGGUGAUGAGAAUUUUAUAUUGGAUAUAGAAGGGGUAGGUGUAAUACUUUUGAAACUGUAAUUAUCUUGGUAGGUGUUCUUCCCUCUACUUUCCCUUUCAACAUUGUGAACUUCCGUUUCUUUCCUUUUUCCAGUAAAACCUCUUUUUUCAGUAGGAUCCACGAUCCUACCUGUCCGAACAGCUUGUUCGAUCCUUUCAGCUAUGACAACCAAAUCAGAGAAAUUUUUUGCAGCACUACCUACCAAGUAUUCAAAGUACGGGGCUUUGAAAGUGUUGGAAAAUAAACCAGUCAUCUCCCUUUCUGACAAUGGAGGAUUUACUUGCGCGGCUGAUUCACGCCACCUUUGGGCAUAUUCUCUUACAGACUCCCUAUUCCCUUUUUCCAUGGCUUGCAGACUUGACCUUUCAGGGGCAAUAUCCAUGUUGAACUUAUAUUGUCUAAUAAAAGCUUCAACCAAAUCCUUCCAUCCUUUAAUCUUGGUAUUAUCUAAGCGCAUAUACCAAGCAAGAGCCGCAUCACUUAAACUGUCUUGAAAGAAAUGGAUCAAUAGCUUCUCAUCAUGGACUACCUCAGCCAUCUUAUUACAAUAUGCUUUAAGAUGGGUGAUCGGGCAUUGAGUUCCAGUAUAUUUAACAAAAUCUGGUACACGGAAUUUUCUGGGAAUAACCACAUUAGGCACCAAACACAUUUCAGCAGCUUUCACCGGAUCAUACAAACUAUUCCCUUCCAUUGCCUUCAUUCUUUCUUCUAAAGCAGCUAGCUUUUCAUGACCAUUUUCCUCCACUAUCUUAUUCCUUUGAGGUUCUUCUUCUGUCAAAACUGCAAUGGGGACCCUCGUUGGAUAUGCUGAUUGGGCAGGUAAGAAAUGAGCAGCAUGCUAAGGUUCAAAUGGCGGAAUAAAAGGAGGCGGAGGCUGAGGUGUAAAUGUUUGUUGAGAAGAUGUUCCUUCUCCAGCUCUAGGCCUCAAAGCCUGUUCAAGCAAGCUGGUAAGCCUUGCUACAUCCUCCUUCAGGCUUUCCAACUCUUUUUGGUGUUGAAUUUCUAACUGAGUUCUCUCUUCAUUUUCCAUUUUCUUCCGUAAACGAGUAUUAUGGAUACGUUUCAGUUGGGGACCUAUAUUUCACCUGUUAUAUGUAGAAUAUGACAAUUUAUAAAACAAAUGUAUGAAAUGCAUGAAUAUGAAUGCAACAUAUUGGAUAUGGAUUUGCUUUUCAUUGGUGACAUAUGGUCGUCAUUCUUUGGAUAUGAGGUUUGAGCUUGAACUUGAUAUCAUCGUUGUGAUGCCGAGAAGAGAUCUGUUUAGCUUUUUGACAUUUCAGCUUCCAGCCAUAUACGCAUAUUUUUGAAUUGAAAAGGUGGGUCUCAGCCCUUUAUUACUUAUUCAGAAGCUUACAAUGAAAAAUUGAUCUAAUCUAUUACAGGAGAAAAAACACUGCCUCUAUUAGCUAUUGCUUUUAAGAAAAGAUCGGUGUUAUCCAAGCUUCUUCGAUACUUUAUUAUAUCACCUCCCACUUGGCGAGCUUCCACUCGUAAUAAAUGGGCUUCUGCAGCUGCUUGACCAACUUGAUCUUGUAGUUCCCUUAUCCUCUCAGUAUGUAUCAAGUUGUUUCUAGACAGAAAGUUAUUGGUGGCAUCCAAUGUUUGAUUAUGUUGUUCUAUCAUUUUCUGGCUUUCCAUAAGCUGUGCAGUCUUUGAUUUUUCUUUGUCCAGCUUAAAUCUCAAUGCUUCCACCUCAGUAUUGUGAUUGUUCCACUCUGCUUUUUGCUCUUCAUGAAUUUUAGUUAAAGCCUCAGCUUUUCCCAAUUGGCCUUUAAACUUAACAAUGUCCGCCCGACGCAUUUUCAAUGUAGCUUGUGUCUUGAUGGCUAAUUCUUCCCAAUGCUUAGCUUUGUCCAUAUAAUACAUCAUAUCCUGAUUAAUUAUUUUUUGUGUUUCCAAGUCAGCCUUUGCCUUUAUCAAGUCUUGACCUACAGAGUCCCUUUCUUCUUCAGCUACUUUCCUUACACCCUUUUCUUUGGCUAGUUGCCGCUCUAAGGACACUCUUUGUUCUUCCUUUGCUUUAAGCUCAGCUUGUAACGAUUUUACUUGUUUUCUUAAUUCUUCUUCACAAUUCACUCUUUUCCUUCGAAGGCCCACAGAUUCAGAAACUUCUGCCGUAUAAGAGACUCCUCUAUUACGCCAUUCAGGAUACUUUUCACUAACUGUAGGAUUCCUUACACCGAUCUCUUUUUUAACUAGCACCAAAGAUCCCCAAUCAUGUUUAAUGCUCUCCAGCAUCUCAUUAUAUGCACCCUUAUAGACUCCGGUGAAUUGAGCUAAGCCAACUGUUCUUGGAAUGCUUUGUAUGCCCCCAAGCUGUCUUGCAACCAAAGCAGACGCAUAACUAAUAUAUCCAGUCACUCCAAUCAAAGGUACCCAAGGCCUCUUCCCACAACCCAUUAGGCAUGUUACAUUUUUCAUCCAAGGAGCUCUCCAAUUAAAAUUGCUUUGUGGAAUUCCUUGCAAUUUUACCCUCCAAUCAUCUUCAGAAAAGUUUUCCCAUUCACUUGAUACAAAUAACUCGAGUGGCUUUUGGUCAAACCACCAAAAAUUUCGGAAUAUUAGUGUUUCAGAUUCUAUAUGGCUUACCAUCCAAAUGAAUAACAAUGGAACACAACAUCUCAUAGAACCUUUCCCAAUCCUUUUGCAAUGAUUGAGAGACAAAAAAGUUUCAGCCAAGAUAGCAGCAGAAGGAUUAAUUUUAGUCUUCUCAUACUCAACAAACAGAUUAGCUGCCUCUAAACUGAUAAUUCCAGCAGUCGAAGGACACAAAAUCAGCCCAAAUAUUCCCAAAGCCAAUAUUCGGUAUACCUCCAAAUUAGCACCAGGAUUAGAUGUUUUAGCAAUCAACAGCUCUUCUAGCCGUUUCCAUCUCAAACCCCCAGAAUUGUUUUUUUCUCUAUAUAAGCUCAUUUGAUGGAUUCCCAGUAGCUUAGCAAGCUCCUAUACAGUAUUCUCAAUCUUUUGAUGAAAAUAAACCUUAUGGAUAUCCUCAGGGAAUUCUGUCAAAACACCGUAUUCUUCAAUGGUAGGAACCAUAUCGACAUUCCCAAAUGUAAAACAUCGAUAAUCAGGAUCCCAAAAAUGAAUUAGGGCUUUUAUGGCUAAUGGCAGUACUGGAACAUUCAGAAGAUGCAAAACUCUCCCAUAUAUCUUAGUAAAUUCUGUCUCAUCAGCCAAGUAUUUGGUGAAUGGAAGCAAACGACUGGCAUCAUUUAUUACGCAUCUCACAUCCUUUAGCAGCGGUAUCCCACUGUCAUCCAGUCUAGGGCAGUCUCCCUCAGUCAUAUGCAAUGAUUCAGAUUCGAGCCCAUACUCAACAGUUGUGAUUUAACGAUUAACGACCAUUAUGUCACCCAAAAACAAUCCUGUAAUGAAGAUGCUAUACGUUAAGCUUGCCUUAGUGAAAUUUACAUAGGGAACAACCUAAAUGGUAGGUUCUAGUCAUUUAAAUGCUUGAGGUAGGUUGCUAUCUAGUCUUGAAAGGUCUUUCGCAUGCUCAGUGAUCUUCCUCGAAAGGUUGAUGUGAGGUUUACAAGUAGCGUGAAAAUAGAGGCCCUGAAUGAUAUCAGUUAGGCAUAUCAACCACUAUCGAGUAAACAAUCAAGCGAAAGUUGGAUGGUUUCACGAGUCUUACCCAGGCUAAAGCCAUUGGGGUACCGCUACUCUCCCACUUAACUUAAAGUUGAUAUAACAGAUGUUUAUUAUGAAAUGCGUGGUGUGUGAAGGCCUAAAUCUAUAUCCAAUAUAUGUAUGAUGACAUAAACAAAUAUGGAUGCUAAAACUAUAAAAAUAAAUAAAAUAAAAUAAACCAAAUAAAAUAAAAACCAAAUAACACAACAAGCAUUUGUAGCAAUUAAAAAAAAUCAAAGGCAAAGCUUAGUCCAUUAGUCCCCAGUGGAGUCGCCAUUCUGUCACACCCGACAUCGCGGCGACCUUAAAAAUUUAAUUCUUUGGAAAAGAACAGAUUUCUGGCAUCCUAUUCUUUAAUGGGGAUAUUCUUUGUUUAAGGAGUCGCCACCUAGUAUUAUGGUCACUAGGAACCCUAACUGGUCAACAGAGAGUCUACGGUUCGGGAUUGGUUACGUAAAAGGGAAGAUAUUAUCACCCCUUAAACGUCCUGCCUGAGGCAGGCUGCACUGCUAGUUUUAUCUUUAAUUGCUAAAUGUUUAUUAGUUUACGAUAUGAUAAUUUACUUAUAAUAUUCCCGACUCUGGCGUCAGUGAAUAUUAAACUACGGAUACUUCCAACUCUGGCGUUGGUCAAUAUCACGUAGCUAUAAAAUAAAUUAGAUUAAUAUUUUUUAUUUUCCCGGCUCUAGCGCCAGUGAAUAAAUAAACAAAAUAAAAUUUGAUUUUUUUACGCAUGCAUAUUUUUUUAUUUUUUUUUAGCUAAAUAAAAUAAAGUACAACAAAUAAAAAUAAUAUAAAUUUAAACCGGUAUUUUUAUUCCUGACUCUGGCGUCAGUGAAUAAACCAAUAAAUUUACAUUAUUUUUAUUCAUCUAAAUAAAUUUAAUUUUUUACGCAUGCACAUUUUUUAUUUUUUAGCUAAAUAAAAUAAAGUACAACAAAUAAAAAUAAUAUAAAUUUAAACCGGUGUUUUUUAUUCCUGACUCUGGCGCCAGUGAAUAAACCAAUAAAUUUACGUUAUUUUUAUUCAUCUAAAUAAAUUUAAUUUUUUACGCAUGCACAUUUUUUAUUUUUUAGCUAAAUAAAAUAAAGUACAACAAAUAAAGAUAAUAUAAGUUUAAACCGGUAUUUUUAUUCCUGACUCUGGCGCCAGUGAAUAAACCAAUAAAUUUACAUUAUUUUUAUUCAUCUAAAGAAAAUAAAAUACAAUGAAUAAAAAUAAUAUAAAUUUAAACCGGUAUUUUAUUCCUGACUCUGGCGUCAGUGAAUAAACCAAUAAAUUUACAUUAUUUUUAUCCAUACAUGCAUAUUUUUUUAUUUUUUAUUUUUUAUUUUUCUGCCUUUUAUUUUUUUAUUUUUUUUAUUAUAUAUAUUUUUUAACUGGGCUGGGCCCGGCCCGGCCCAGCAAAAAAAGAAAAAAAUUGGGGGCUGGGCCCAGCGCAGCCCACAUGGACUGGGCUGGACCCAGCCAGCCCAGCCCGGUCACUGGCCCAAGCCAGUGACCCGGCUGGGUAAAAACUAAAGGCACGCGUGACUUAUUCACGCGUGCCCGAACACUGGUGAAGGUAAUUAAAUUACCUUCACACAGUGUUCUUGCAGCACAUAAUUAUCUUUUGAAAUGAAAAUGCAGAGGAGACGGGGUCAUACCUGCUUCUGGAGACCGAAGAUGCUGCUUCUGGAGACCGAAGAUGUUGCUUCUGGAGACUGAGAUGCUUGCAGCGCUGCUUGAUGAUUUUCGCCUAAUGUUCCUCUGGUUUUCCUUCUGUGAAUACUUAUCUAUGCUUUCCUUCUUGAUUUCUCUGUAACUUCUAAAGCUACAAAGAAGAUUCCGGCUUGUUGUGAGUGUUCUUUGGCUGAAUCCGGGUUUUUUUGUUUGCAGGUUCGGAGACAAUUUCAAGGAUAAUUCUCCUUACCGUGUCCUGCCUUCUUGUCCUCUCCUUCUCUGUGUAUUUGGAUUUGUUCUCUGUUUUCUCUGCCUUUUUCUUUUAACUCUGUUUUUCUGGGUUGAUUUUUUCGGUUCUCUCCCUCCUUUUCUUACUGUGUAUAAUUUCUCUGGUUUUCUUGCUCUCCCUCCUUUUUUUUUCUUUAGGUGUUCUUCUCCCUUUUAUAAACCCAGCCGAUUGCCCCCCAUCAGUCCUGCCUUUGCAGGACUGUUAUCUUCCACGAACGAGAUCGUGGGCGAGAGACGUGGUCCUCGAUUGGAUUGAAUCCGUUGCAGAUUUUCCAGCCUGUUGAAUCGGGAUGGAGAAGACGAACACGACUGUUCUACCCGCAGCGGCGACGUUUCGGCAGCAAUGGAUUUCACCAGCAACGACGCCGUUUCAAGCAACAAAUGGACAUUUUUAUUUUGAUCCCUGAACUGUUGGAAAUUCGGCAAUUGGACCUUAAAAAAAAUUCCACUUAAUUUUGUCCCUUUGGAUUAAUUUCAAUUAAAUCCUUAAAUUAUAACACUGUUUACAAAACAGUCCUUAAUUCCUGGAUUGUUCAAUUUAGCCCUUAAUUAAAUCUUUAACCUUUCAAAAUUGAUCAAUUAACUCUCAAAUUACAUCCUCAAACUUUAAAUUUUGUUGUUUUAACCCCAUUGGCAACUAUAUUUAAUUUUUUUAUUAUUUGUUCAAAAAUUGGUUAUGACAAUGAUAGUAACAAGAAAAUAAAAAUUAAUUUGAAUAAAUGGUAGGAGUUUCUAUUCUGAUAUAUCCAGGGAAGAAGUUCGAAGAAUAGAAUGAAGAUAAAAAAAGAAAAAAUUUGUGUUACAUUUUUAUCUUUUAUAAUUAUAAUUAUUGCAUUGCUAAUAAUUUGCACGAAAAAAUAUUCUUUCUCUGAAAAGGGCUUGAGAGAACCCUAAGCAUAUAUAGGAAUCUCUUAUAGGAAUCUCUUUAUUAAAUCAUCAAAAUAUGAAAGUCUAUUUCCAAAUACUAUUACUACAGUUUAUAUAUAUAUAUAUAUAUAUAUAUAUAUAUAUAGAAACAACUAAAUAGAAAAAUUAUUAUUAUUUAAAUAAAAAACUAGAAAAGCCUGAUAAUAUUAUUGAAUGAAAAAUAAAAUAGAAAUUUAAUAAAUUAAAAGUUAAAAAAUACUGUGUGACUGUUUUGUAUAAAUUCUAAAGUUAAGGAGUCUUUUAUGCUUGGUAAAAUACGUCACAAUAAAGUUAAUAAAUAAGAACACAAGAAAGGAUCAAAGUUAAUAAAUAAUAGCAUGCACGAAACUUCAUGAUAUCCAUGUUUUUCACGUUUUAUACUGCUUUAAUAGAUUGUUACAGCAAGAGAAACGGUACAAGACAGAACAAUAAAGGAGGGGCUGACGUUCAGUGAGGACAUCCUCCAGCUCAUCAGAUCCAGCUCAAGUUGUUGCAACCACCGCGAAAGGAACGCAUUGAUGUUAACGCGUGGACCCAGUCGCUGCAACCAGCACGAAAGUACCACUCCAAAUUCCAGCUCAUUUGUUAUAUAUAUAGUAAUAACAAAUGGUUAGAAUGCUUUAGUCCUUUUCGAGUGGAAAGUGGUGUGAAUGUGGGAAGUACUGUGAGAGCUUUAUGCCACUUUCUAUCUUUGAUGUGAUGGCUUUGGCAAGAAGAAACAAAUAAAAGUUAGUGUUCGCACUGCUUUAGCCCAAGAGUCUUUCAUCGUCGUUGCCUUGGAUUGAUUGAUUGAUUGACAGGAAGAAUUCUGAAUGUUUUUAGAAAAGUCUUCAUUGACAGGAAGAAUUGUGAACGGAAUGAGAUUUUAUUUUGUUUUGUUUUUUAAAUUAACAUGGAAUAUUUCAGUUAUUUCAGGUGAAACGAAACAAAAUUAACAACCUUGAUAAAAACUCUAAAUCACGAGUAAAAUCUGAAUGUUUUUUUAUAGAAAGAAGCAAUCUUCAUUGCUUUAAUAAAUUGUCACAAUAAUAGCACUAAGAGAAGAAUGGGUAGACCCUCGAGCCGGGCCAAAUUUUAAAAUUAUAGUUUAUAUAUAGAAACAACUAAAUAUAUAAAUUAUUAUUUUUUAAAUGAAAAAACCAGAAGAGCUUGAUAAUAUUUAAUAAAAAAAAUAAAAAUGAAAAAAUAUUCCUUUUCAAGUACAAACAAAAUUAUAAAUAUUUAAUAAUACUGUAUAAAAAAUUAAAAAUUCUAACCUAAAUUUUAAAAAAAUUGUCAUUGGCUAAUUGACUAAUUGACUUGUGCUAUCUCUUGUACAUUAUUAGAAAAAUUGUCAUUGACUAAUUGACUUGCAAAAGUAUUUGCAAGAAAGCUAAAGAAUUAGAGUUUUUAACAUUUUUAAAUUUUUAAAAACAUCCAAUUAUUUUUUUAAAAAAUCAAGAAUAAAACAUCAACUAUUUAUAUAAUUGCUAAAUAAAUCUAAUAAAAUAAAUCAGAAAUAACUAGUAAAUAAUCCAAAAAUAACUAGAAAAUAAAUAUAUCUCCUCAAUAUGAUUUGAGUAUGUUUUCUAUCUUAAUUGACUGACUUGCUAAGUAUUUGUUAAGCAUAAACGAACUUUACUCUAAAAGUAUGUUUAAUAUUUUUCUUACUUUUACUAUUUUACUUCAAAGUUUCAAUUUCAUAUUUUUUUACAAUGUACAUGUUAUUUGAUUAGUCUGAUCAUAGGAUAUGUUAAGCAUUGACUCGAAAUUAGCACUUGAAAUUAUGGACUGGAAACUAGCUUAAAUGCUGGCCACCAACCCUUUUUUGCUCGUUCUAUAGGGAGAGUAGAAAAUGUGAUUUCUUAUUCAAGAUCGUGGAUAGUACGCUCAAGAUUAUGGGAAGGUGUUUUUUGUUUACUAGGAGGAUUGGGUCGAAAAGAGGAGAAAAAGUGGCAGCCUUCCAUAUACAUUUAAGGAAACCCAGAUUUUUGUAGAUUUUAGAGACAAAACGAUGUCAUUUUCAUUUUUCUUUCAAUAUCAAAAUUUUUUCUUCCCUUUUCCAGGCAAAACGCACCAUUUCAAUUAGUGUGAAAAGGCAUCAUUUUGCUUUAGGUUUUCUUCAUAUGUAAUAAUGCUAAACACACCAUGUGGAACUAUGUUAAACGCAACAUUUUAGCAUCUUUUGUGCUUCGAUCCCUAGAAUUUUAAUUCUUUUAUUUUGAUCAAUUUUCAACUCUUUUCCUUUAAUUUCAUUUAAUUUGCUAUUAACUGAAUUACAAUAUGACCUUUAAUUUCUUUAUUUUUUUCAUUUCAGUCACUGAUUCUUUCAAUCUUCAUUUUUAAGCCAAAUGAAUUGCAGUUUCAAUUUUCUUUUUUAAUUAAAUCUCUAAUUGAUUUUUUAAAUUGGUUAUUCAUUUCAAACUCAUUCUUGAACUGCUAAUAAUUUUAAUAGAUGUAUGGUACAUCCUAUGAAUUUAUUAGAAAGAAUGUUUAAUGUAAAGUAUGAACCACUUGCCAUUAACUAGCUUUUUCAAUUGGAUCUUUUAUUUAAAUGAAAAGGAAUAUUUAUUUUAAUAUGAAGAAAAUAAUUAUUUUUUUUGAUAUAUCUAGUGAUAAUAAAUUAGAGGAUAGUAACAAGAAAAUAGGGAUUAGAUCGAAUAAAUGGUACCAAUUUGUAUUAUGAUAUAUCUAGUAAUAAUAAAUUAGAGGAUAGUAACAAGAAAAUAUGAAUUAGAUCGAAUAAAUGGUACCAAUUUCUAUUCUGAUAAAUCUAGCCAAAGAGUAGAAUGAAUUAAAAUAUUCUUAAUAAAAAAGAAAAACAGAAAACACAGAAAGAAAAAAAAAAUGCUCUUAAUAAAUAUUAAAGAUAGGUGAAAUUAGAGAACAAGAAAGAGAUAUAGAAUCUCUUUCUUAAGAUUUCUAAAAACUUAAUUACAAUUACAUUAUAAUUUCUUCCUUAAAAUUAUUCAAAAUAUAGUAUUGUAAUUACAUAAUGCUAGGUUUUAAUAUAUAAGUUUUUAUAUUGUUGAAGAGUCUCUCCUAAAACAAAUAAUAAAAAUAUUGUUAUGAACUGUUUUGAAUGAAUUGUUAAUGCACGGACUAUUUUGGGUCCUGACUUGGCUGAUUUAACUUGAAUGUAUUAUUUGAUUGGUCCAAGUAAAGAUCAACUCGAAAUUUCUAUUAAUUUAUGUCGCACCCGACAUCGCGACGGCCUUAAAAAAAAAAAUCAGGUAUAUUGCGGAAAAAGAACAGAUUUCUGGCAUCUUGUUCUUUUAGGAAAAAUGUCUUGUUUAAGGAGUCGCCACCUAGUAUUAUGGUCACUAGGAACCCUAACUGGUCAACAGAGAUUCUAUGGUACGGGACUGGUUACGUAAAAGGGAAGAUAUUAUCACCCCUUAAACGUUCUGCCUAAGGCAGACUGCAUUGCUGGUUUUGUCUUAAAUUGCUAAACAUUUAUUCGCUUAUGCUAUGAUGAUUUGUUUAUAAUAUUCCUGACUCUGGCGCCAGUGAAUAUUCGAUCGCGAAUAAUUCCAACUCUGGCGUUGGUAAAAAUUCCACCCGAAUAAUUCCAACUCUGGCGUUGGUAAAAAUUCUACUACAAAUAAUUCCAACUCUGGCGUUGGUAAAAAUUCAUAGCCACCAAAAAUAAAUUCAGAUUAAUAUUUUUUUAUUCCUGACUCUAACGCUAGUGAAUAAACAAAUAAACUAAAUUUAUGCAUUCACAUAUUUUUUUAUUUUUUAUGUAGUUAAAUAAAAAAAACAAAGAGAAUAAUUAAAUAAGUAUUUUUAUUUUUGACUCUGAAGUCAGUAAAUAAAAAUAAAUUUAUUUUUCAUACAUGCACGUAUAUUUUUUUGCUAAAUAAAAAAAAUAUACGAAUAAAAAUAAUAUAAACUUAAACUAAUAUUUUAUUCCCGACUCUGGCGUGGGUGAAUAAACUAGUAAAUUUAUAUUAUUUUUAUUCAUGCACACACAUAUUUUUUUAUUUUUUUAUUUUUUAUUUUCUUAUUUUUUUUAUAUAUAUAUAUUUGUUUUUUGCUGGGCCUAGCUCAGCCCACAUGGGCUGGGCCCAGCCCAGCCCAGCCCAGCCCAGUCACUGGCCCAAGCCAGUGACCCGGCUGGGUAACAUGAAGCACGCGUGAACUAAAUCACGCGUGCAUUAGCAGAUAAAGGAAUUAAUUGAGAGUGUACAGUAGGAAGUGAAUUAAAAUGAAAAACGGUGAAAGGUGAAAGAGAAACUUACUUACCUGGCUCUGGAUACAACGAAGGCAGCAGCAACAAUGGUUCUGGUCACGGUGGCUUUCCUCUGCUUAUGUUCGUCCCCUGUUUAUUGGCUUGUUCGUCCCCUGUUCUUGUUUCCAGUCGCUCUCCUUUUGUUUCCUUGCUCUCGUUCUCUGUCUUCUGCGUUUGUUUUUCUUCUGUGUUUCCCUGGUUCUCUUUUUGUUCACCUUAUCUUCUCUGCUUUUCCUUUUUUUUUCGUCUGUGUCUGUCCCUUCUCUCUCGGUCUGUUUUUUCUUUUUUUUUCUCUUGCUCUCACAUGCUCUGUCUUUCUCUGUUUUUUUCUGUUCUUGGCUCUGUUUUGGGUUGAUUUUUCUUGUGCAGGGAUGAAGAUGAUGGCGGGGUUGAUCUCUGAUUCCUUUCUGCCUUUCUCCCCUUCUCCCUGGGUAUUUCUUUUUGUGUUUGUGCUCUGUUUUGCUCUGCUUGUUUCCUCACUGAUUUCCGGUUCUUGCUUUUUCCAAUCUUCCCCCUCGUUUUAGUCCAAUUCAUCCCCUGUUUCCAGUGUUCUUUUUCCUGCGUUUUGCUCGGUUCCCCUCCUCCGGUUUGUUCGGUUCUUUGUCCAGCCCCGUUGUUCCCCUGUUUCCUGAGUUUUUCUAUGGGUUCUGCUCCAGUUAUCCCCCCUCUGUUCGUCCCCUUGCCUCUGCUCUGCUCUGCCUUUUAUAGAGCCCGAGCACGCAGAAAAAACCCGUUCCUCUGUUCAUCAAUCCAUGAGCGGGAUCAUGGGCAAGAAAUCAUGGUGUCGUGGUCCACGAUUUGCUGCAAAUUUCCUGUUAAAACGGCUUUUUCCGCUCAAACGUGGGAGACGAUGAACAAUGCUUCCAAAACGGUGCCGUUGUGUCCUUGGGCAUGGCUUUUUUUAAUUUAGUCCCUAAACAGUUUAAACUUAACAAUUGGGAUCCUAAUCAGAAACAAUUGAUUUCUAAUUGUGCCCUUGGAUUAAAUUUAAUUGAAUCCUUGAGUUAUAACGCCAUUUACACAACAGUCCUAGAUGUUUGGACUAUUCAAUUUGGUCCUUGGACUUUAAUUUUCUAGCAAUUUUUCCUUGAAUCAGCUCUAAACUUUGAUAUUCUUUCAAUUACACCCCUGAUUCCUUUAAUUAAUUAAAUCAAAGUUUAAUUAAGUCCUUAAACUCAUUAAUUCUUCAAUUAAACUCUUGAUUUCAUUAAUUAAAAUAAUCUGAAUUUUAAUUAAAUCAAUUCUCCAAUUAAACCCUUGAUUUAAUUAAUUAAAAAGAGUUUAAUUAAAUCUUUAAACUUCCAAUCAUGCUGCCCUUAACCUAAAUUUUAAUUCAUUCUUCAUUUAUUUUAUUUUUAUUUGUUUUUUCAUCAUUUUUUAAAUAAAAAUAAUUAAAAUAAAAAGGUUAAAAAUUGGGUUAUGACAGUUGCCCCCUCUUUAUAAUAUUUACCUUGCAAAGAUAUUUAGAAAAUUUCAUUUUCUUUUAGCUUUGUGUAGUAAAUUUAUAAAGAAAAGUAGAUAAAGAAGUUUUUUUUUUUUUUUUUUUUUGCUUUUUUAGUUUGAAAACUUCAAAAACAGUAGAUUGACAUAAGAUUUUAACAGAGAGAACAAAUCAUUUGGAAGACGGUCCAUUUUUUUGUUGUUUUUUUUUUGUUCGAAAUGGAUCAAAUUGUUUUGGGCAACCUGCCCAAUGAUAAAAGAAACGCGAAGAAUUUCGCGAGUGGUCUAAUUGUUCCAGGCGACCUGCCCAAUGAUUGAAAAAUACGAGAAAUUUUUUUGUGAUGGUAUAUUGUAAUGGGUUAUCGGCCCAGAUGGUCACAUUGUAAUGGGUUACCUGCCCAGUAUAAGAUGGUAUGUUGUAAUGGGUUACCCGCCCAAAUGGUAACAUUGUAAUGGGUUACCUGCCCAGUAUAGGAUGGUAUAUUGUAAUGGGUUACCGACCCAGUUGGUCACAUUGUAAUGGGUUACCUGCCCAGAUGGUCACAUUGUAAUGGGUUACCUGCCCAGUGGAUGGUAUAUUGUAAUGGGUUACCGACCCAGUUGGUCACAUUGUAAUGGGUUACCUGCUCAGGUGGUCACAUUGUAAUGGGUUACCGGCCCAGUUGGUCACAUUGUAAUGGGUUACCUGCCCAGUGGAUGGUAUAUUGUAAUGGGUUAUCGACCCAAUUGGUCACAUUGUAAUGGGUUACCUGCCCAGAUGAUCACAUUGUAAUGGGUUACCUGCCCAGUGGAUGGUAUAUUGUAAUGGGUUACCGACCCAGUUGGUCACAUUGUAAUGGGUUACCUGCCCAGGUGGUCACAUUGUAAUGGGUUACCGGCCCAGUUGGUCACAUUGUAAUGGGUUACCUGCCUAGUGGAUGGUAUAUUGUAAUGGGUUAUCGACCCAGUUGGUCACAUUGUAAUGGGUUACCUGCCCAGUAUAGGAUGGUAUAUUGUAAUGGGCUACCGGCCCAGAUGGUCACAUUGUAAUGAGUUACCUGCCCAGUAUAGGAUGGUAUAUUGUAAUGGGCUACCGGCCCAGAUGGUCGCAUUGUAAUGGGUUACCGGCCCAGUUGGUCGCAUUGUAAUGGGUUACCUGCCCAGUUGGUCGCAUUGUAAUGGGUUACCUGCCCAGUGGAAGAAUACGAGGAUUUUUUUUUUUAAGACAUGGUAAGGCUCGAAGGCGCUUUUAUUCAAUAGAUGGAAGCUCAAAGGAAAUGAGGGCUCGAAGACGCACUCAAAAGGAGGUAGGAUAGGAAAUGCACUACCUUUGAUGGUCGAGGGCUCGAAGGCGCGCUCGAAAAGAAACAAGACGAGGGCUCGAAGGCACACUCGAAUGGGGAUAAGACGAGGGCUUGAAGGCGCGCUCGAAUGGAGAAUGAAAGGUGGUGGGAAAAUACAUAUAUUUUUCAAGUGGCCUAAUUUUCAUGGGCGGCUUGCCCAGGUUGAAAAAUUCUCAAAAGUGAAAAUUUUUCAAAAGCAAUUUCAAUGUUCGCCAUUUCAAGUUGGCCUUCCGCUUGAUGGAUUCUGUUAGAAUUUUCUCUAAUAAAAUUUGCAAAACUCAUUGUCCAAUGUCUCAAAGUUUAAAUGAUAUGCAUGCACCUGAUUUGAAAUAUAGGCCCCCCAUUUCUUCUUAGCCUUCUCGUUGCUUGGUUGGUGAGAUCUUGCUAUCUGAUUUGAGUCAUCUUUGUCGUUUGGCUUUCUAGCCCACUCGAGUUAGCCCAUAUAAGACUUUUUCUAGAUUUGUUUGCACAACUCAGCCUUUAUGGUACCCAUCGUGACCCACAUGCUUGCUAAAGAUUUUCGGACUCGUCAAAUAAUUUGAGAGGAUCAUUCAUUACCCCUCGUCUCAAUGCUAAAAACAUUCGGUGUCACUAGCUGAAAGGAUCAAACGGUCUUUUGUAAACCAAAAUGCCCCCUUGUCUUGUUGUAAGGGAUGAUAGAUUUUCCUUAAACAUAAUGUUGUCCCCUUGUACUGGUCAUUGCCCCCAAGUGCGCUAUGUCACUGACUUAGAUGAAUAAUGAUUUUAAGAGGCCAUUCUCUCAUUUGGUGAAGGAAUAUGAGUCUAGAAUAAAUCUUGAAAUCUUGAUCUUGCAUUUUAAAAACAAAAAUUAUUUCGAUGUGAGUCUAAAAUAAUUUGUUUUUGAAAUCUUGCAACUCCUUGGUUAUUUUCUUUCUUGGAAAAGAGAUUAUUUGCUCUUGUGUUUGGUAAUGAGGUCUUUGAGGAAAAUAUGUCAUGAGAUGACCUUUUGUUUCGAAGUGAAGGGCUCGAGAAAAAGCUCGAGGUUUUAUAUGAGAAAAACUUGUCUUUUUUAGCAUUUAUUUUUAUCAGCAUGAAUAAUAAUGAGUAGUUUAUUCUUGAUGUCAUGAAUCUUAUGAAAAAAUAUUCUUUGCAUUUUGAGAGCAUUGUUUAUUGUUCUAAGUUGCUUGCUUGCUUGAUUAGAAAGGACUUCUACAGGCAUGUAACGUAGGCUGUGUUUUUUAUUUUUUUGCUAUGAAAGAAAAGGAUUCAUAAGGCUCAAAGAGUGUUUCAGGGUUUCAAAGAUUGAAGAUCACGAUCAACAGUUUGACUCUUGAUGUCAUUCAUAUUUUCUUUUGCCGCUCUUCUUUGAUUUGCCCCUUUUUUUUUAUAGCUUUGCUAGAGCAUACUCACUUUAUCUUGGUUAUCAUUUUUUUCUUGUGAUUUGGGUAUGCCCCCUAGCAUUUGAGUUUCUUGGGCUCUUUAUGCCUUUUUGGCUUUCUCACGGCUUUUUCUCAUUUCACAUUGAAAUUUUCUCUUGCCCCCCAGUGUAGGGUGUGAUCUUAGUCAGGAUUUUUAAUGAAAGAAAAAUUAUUCAGGCUCAAAAAGGGAUCGCAAGGGAUGUACUUAUUUUAGAAAGUGAAAGGAAUAACAAAGAUGGCCUUUCCUCAUUUUAAGCGCAAGCAGUUAAGAUCAAUAAACUUUGACCUCAUCUAGUGUGAUGGUUUGGUCUUUGCAAAGAUGCAUUUCAUAAAUCAUGAGCAACGAAUUCUCUACAUACCAUUAUUCAUACAUUUAAAAACACAUGAUUCAAGAGUCAUGGGGUAAGUGUCUUUCUUUUUCUUUUUCAUAAUUUUUAUGGUUUAUAAUUUAGUCACCUCAAUGAUGAAGCUGCUUGAUUCACUUGUCAUUCUACAAGUAGAAUGUGAAAAAUAUCAUUUUUGAAUGAACAUCAAAUUAUUUUUGAAAUCAAAAUACCAGAUCAAAUUUUCAAAACUCCAAUAGGGAAAUGGAUUUUGGUACAAGAGAUGAAUUGCGUCUAUGAGAUCACGUAAGGCUUCAAAGGUGGAUUCGUGAGUUCUUAUAAGAAAAACUCUCUUAAUCAGAAUAAUGCUUGGUCGUGAACACGAUUGAAUGACAAACUCAAUAUUUCAUUGAAGCUUAGGAAAAGAAGUUCAACAACAAAGAUCUUAUGCCAACAUGAAUACUGGCAUGAUAACACAUAAAGGAGCUAAACAUUUAGUGAUCAUUCUCGACCUAAUAUCACCAUAGCUUUCUCUUCAAGGUAGUUGAUUUCUAGGAGUCGGCGUAAAGAAAUUAACCAUAGGAACAGUAAGAGCCUUGGCCACCCCCUUCAGUGUCCUUUCCUUUUUCGGUGAAACCGUUCUUUUCAGUUGGAUCAGCAAUUUUACCUAACCCAAUGGCUUGUUCAAUCCUCUCAGCUACAACAACCAGGUCAGUGAAAUGUUGUGCAGAGCUUCUAACCAAGUAUUCAAAGUACGGAGCUUUAAAGGUGUUGGAAAAUAAACUGAUCAUCUCUUUUUCCAACAUGGGAGGAUUAACUUGUGCAGCUACCUCACUCCAUCUCCGGGCGUAUUCCCUUAUGGACUCCUUGUUGUCCUUCUCCAUAGCUUGCAAGCUUAACCGAUCAGGGCCCACGUCUAUAUUGAACUUAUAUUGCCUCAUAAAGGCAUCCACUAAAUCCUUCCAUUUUUUAACCUUGGUAUUGUCCAACCGCAUAUACCAAGUGAGGGCAACAUUACUCAGACUGUCUUGAAAGAAAUGAAUCAGCAGUUUCUCAUUAUCAACCACCUCAGCCAUUUUGUUGCAGUAUGCUUUGAGAUGAGUUAUAGGACAUUGAGUUCCCGUAUAUUUAACAAAUUCGGGCACUCUAAACUUUUUAGGAAUGACAACGUUGGGCACCAAACACAUCUCAACAGCCCUUAUAGGAUCAUAUAGGUGAAUUCUCUCAAAUGCCCUCAUCCUUUGCUCUAGGGCAAUGAAUUUGUUCAGAUCAUCUUCUUUUACCACCUUGCCUUUUUGAUAUUCCUUCUCUAUAGAAUCAAUGGUGGACAAAACUCUCGCAGGGUAUGCUGGCUGGAAAUGCAUAGGUUGUUGAAAUUCAGAUGACACCCUAUUUGCCCCCAGAUUCUGUGGAUCGAAAUGAGUUACAUGCAUAUCUUCAGGCUGAGCUAUAAGUGUUGCUUUUCCGGAUUUAUUUCUCAAGACCUGCUCGAGUAGACUAGUAAUCCUUGUGACUUCUUCCUUAAGAUUGUCCACCUCUUUUUGAUGUUGGGCUUCCAACUGGGCUCUUUCUUCGUUUUCCAUUUGUCUUUUUCUCGAACGAGUGUUAUACAUGGGUUUCAAUGGGGAACCUAUAUUUCAACCUGUUAAAUGUAAAUCAUGCAAUUAUGCAAAAAUGCUGAAGCAAUUAGAAAAAAUGCAAAUGAAAUGCGGACUUGCCCUUUUACGGGAUGACAACCUAAUAAACAGAUCCUAAUUGUUGAGUGCAUCAAAGGGUUGGUCAUUAUCUAGUUUUAAAGGGUCUCUCGCACGCUCAGUGAUCGUCCAUGAAAGGUCGAUAUGAGGCUUACAAGUAGUGUGAAGAUAGAGGCCCUAAGUAAUAUCAGUUUGGCAUAUCAACCACUUCCAAGUAAACAAUCAAGCGAGAGUUGGAUGGUUUCACGAGUCUUACCCAGGCUAAAGCCAUUGGGGUACCGUUACUCCCCCCAUUUAUCCUAGAUUUUAAGGUAUGUGCUUUUAACGUGAUGCAUGACAAUAUAAACAUAGAUGCAUGCUAAAGCAGUAAAUGCAAGAAAAAUAAACAAAUAAACACAACAUAACAAAUAUUAUAGCAAUUGACAAACAAAAGGCAAAGCUUAGUCCAUUAUUCCCCAGUGGAGUCGCCAUUCUGUCGCACCCGACAUCGCGGCGGCCUUAAAAAAAAAAAUCAGGUAUAUUGCGGAAAAAGAACAGAUUUCUGGCAUCUUGUUCUUUUAGGAAAAAUGUCUUGUUUAAGGAGUCGCCACCUAGUAUUAUGGUCACUAGGAACCCUAACUGGUCAACAGAGAUUCUAUGGUACGGGACUGGUUACGUAAAAGGGAAGAUAUUAUCACCCCUUAAACGUUCUGCCUAAGGCAGACUGCAUUGCUGGUUUUGUCUUAAAUUGCUAAACAUUUAUUCGCUUAUGCUAUGAUGAUUUGUUUAUAAUAUUCCUGACUCUGACGCCAGUGAAUAUUCGAUCGCGAAUAAUUCCAACUCUGGCGUUGGUAAAAAUUCCACCCGAAUAAUUCCAACUCUGGCGUUGGUAAAAAUUCUACUACAAAUAAUUCCAACUCUGGCGUUGGUAAAAAUUCAUAGCCACCAAAAAUAAAUUCAGAUUAAUAUUUUUUUAUUCCUGACUCUAACGCUAGUGAAUAAACAAAUAAACUAAAUUUAUGCAUUCACAUAUUUUUUUAUUUUUUAUGUAGUUAAAUAAAAAAAACAAAGAGAAUAAUUAAAUAAGUAUUUUUAUUUUUGACUCUGAAAUCAGUAAAUAAAAAUAAAUUUAUUUUUCAUACAUGCACGUAUAUUUUUUUGCUAAAUAAAAAAAAUAUACGAAUAAAAAUAAUAUAAACUUAAACUAAUAUUUUAUUCCCGACUCUGGCGUGGGUGAAUAAACUAGUAAAUUUAUAUUAUUUUUAUUCAUGCACACACAUAUUUUUUUAUUUUUUUAUUUUUUAUUUUCUUAUUUUUUUUAUAUAUAUAUUUGUUUUUUGCUGGGCCUAGCUCAGCCCACAUGGGCUGGGCCCAGCCCAGCCCAGCCCAGCCCAGUCACUGGCCCAAGCCAGUGACCCGGCUGGGCAACAUGAAGCACGCGUGAACUAAAUCACGCGUGCAUUAGCAGAUAAAGGAAUUAAUUGAGAGUGUACAGUAGGAAGUGAAUUAAAAUGAAAAACGGUGAAAGGUGAAAGAGAAACUUACUUACCUGGCUCUGGAUACAACGAAGGCAGCAGCAACAAUGGUUCUGGUCACGGUGGCUUUCCUCUGCUUAUGUUCGUCCCCUGUUUAUUGGCUUGUUCGUCCCCUGUUCUUGUUUCCAGUCGCUCUCCUUUUGUUUCCUUGCUCUCGUUCUCUGUCUUCUGCGUUUGUUUUUCUUCUGUGUUUCCCUGGUUCUCUUUUUGUUCACCUUAUCUUCUCUGCUUUUCCUUUUUUUUCGUCUGUGUCUGUCCCUUCUCUCUCGGUCUGUUUUUUCUUUUUUUUUCUCUUGCUCUCACAUGCUCUGUCUUUCUCUGUUUUUUUCUGUUCUUGGCUCUGUUUUGGGUUGAUUUUUCUUGUGCAGGGAUGAAGAUGAUGGCGGGGUUGAUCUCUGAUUCCUUUCUGCCUUUCUCCCCUUCUCCCUGGGUAUUUCUUUUUGUGUUUGUGCUCUGUUUUGCUCUGCUUGUUUCCUCACUGAUUUCCGGUUCUUGCUUUUUCCAAUCUUCCCCCUCGUUUUAGUCCAAUUCAUCCCCUGUUUCCAGUGUUCUUUUUCCUGCGUUUUGCUCGGUUCCCCUCCUCCGGUUUGUUCGGUUCUUUGUCCAGCCCCGUUGUUCCCCUGUUUCCUGAGUUUUUCUAUGGGUUCUGCUCCAGUUAUCCCCCCUCUGUUCGUCCCCUUGCCUCUGCUCUGCUCUGCCUUUUAUAGAGCCCGAGCACGCAGAAAAAACCCGUUCCUCUGUUCAUCAAUCCAUGAGCGGGAUCAUGGGCAAGAAAUCAUGGUGUCGUGGUCCACGAUUUGCUGCAAAUUUCCUGUUAAAACGGCUUUUUCCGCUCAAACGUGGGAGACGAUGAACAAUGCUUCCAAAACGGUGCCGUUGUGUCCUUGGGCAUGGCUUUUUUUAAUUUAGUCCCUAAACAGUUUAAACUUAACAAUUGGGAUCCUAAUCAGAAACAAUUGAUUUCUAAUUGUGCCCUUGGAUUAAAUUUAAUUGAAUCCUUGAGUUAUAACGCCAUUUACACAACAGUCCUAGAUGUUUGGACUAUUCAAUUUGGUCCUUGGACUUUAAUUUUCUAGCAAUUUUUCCUUGAAUCAGCUCUAAACUUUGAUAUUCUUUCAAUUACACCCCUGAUUCCUUUAAUUAAUUAAAUCAAAGUUUAAUUAAGUCCUUAAACUCAUUAAUUCUUCAAUUAAACUCUUGAUUUCAUUAAUUAAAACAAUCUGAAUUUUAAUUAAAUCAAUUCUCCAAUUAAACCCUUGAUUUAAUUAAUUAAAAAGAGUUUAAUUAAAUCUUUAAACUUCCAAUCAUGCUGCCCUUAACCUAAAUUUUAAUUCAUUCUUCAUUUAUUUUAUUUUUAUUUGUUUUUUCAUCAUUUUUUUAAAUAAAAAUAAUUAAAAUAAAAAGGUUAAAAAUUGGGUUAUGACAAUUUACAAAAGAAAUUUCCUAGUACUUUCUACUGUAUAUAAUUUGAAAAAUUGUGACUGACCAACUUACUUGCAAAGUAUUGGCAAGAAAGUUAAAGAAUUAGAGUUUUUAAAUAUUUAAAAUUAUAAUUUUAAAUUCUAAGAAAAAAAUCAAUUAUUUUUAAAAUUGUUUUCAAAAAUAAAAGCAUCAACUAUUUAUAUAAUAGCUAAAUGAAUCUAUUAAAAUAAAUAAAAAAAUAACUAGUAAAAUCAAGUGAAUAAUCCAAAAAUAACAAGAAAAUAGAGAUAUUUCCUAAAUAUGAUUCCAGUUUGUAUUUGCUAACAUAAAUAGCAUACAUGAACUUUAUUAUAAUAGUAUAUUUGAUAUUUAAAUAAAAACUUAUAGAUAUUAUAUGGGUUGGAAACCCAUUUUUUAUUAAAUUUUAAAUUUUAUAUGUUUAAAAAUAUUUUUUUAUAUUUUUUAAUUAUUUUAAUGUGAUAAUAUUAAAAAUAAAUAAAUAAAAUUUUUCUAACUUUUACUACUUCUGACUUGCUUUGACUCGAAAUUCGCGGUGCUUUCUCCUGCAAAUGAAUAGAAAGCAUAUCAUUUCUCCUCCUCCUAUAUGAAGAAUACAACUCGCUUUGAAACCUCAAUUAAAUUUCCUUGGUUUACUCUUCAGAUUACUUCUCCUAAACUCCUUUGUUCAUUUUCUUUUUUAUUACCCCUUCAUGCCAAUUGUUAGAUACUAAAAACAGCAAGAACUGUACUCAAUUAGCAAAAAAUAGAUUUUUGACUAGAAAAAUUCUAUCAAAUUCUCUACUUUAUUAGUGUUCAUUUUCAUUCUUUUUUAACAUAUCUUUUCCAAUUGUUUAGAAAACUUUUAUGUCAAUCAAUAUACACCUACUUUCAACGUUUUACACUGCUUUAGUCCUAAAAAAUAAUUCUAGAUAUAGUUGUAUUGUAAUAGAUAUUAUAUUUCAAACUAUUUUUGAAAUAUAUUAAAGUAAUAUAUUUUUUUAAAAAAAUAAUUUUAACAUCGCUACAUUAUAAUAAUAAAAAUAAUAAUUUAAAACAAUAAAAAAAUUUAAAAUAUUUUUAAAAUAUGAUUUUACUGCACUCCAAAACAUACCAUCCUCCCUCAGCAACCACCACGAAAUUACCACUCUAAAAACUCUUUGACAAUUAUUGCUUGCUCUUUGACUAUUAUUGCUUGGCUAAUGAUUUGCAAGAAACUUUCUCAAUUUCCUUCUAUUUUCUUUUUAUCAUGGAAACUUUAAGUCACAUCUACGCCUACCACGAACUACCAAUAAGUAAAUUUCAAUAUGUAAUUGUGUAGGUUGAAUUAAAAGUGCUUUAAUGAAGUAUGUUAAAAAAUAAUAUAAAUUAUAUUUUAGAUUUUAUUUUAAUAAUUUAAAUUUCUAGAUGAAUAGAUUUUUUACAAAUAAAAGAUAUAGUUUUACGAUAAAAUGCAUUUUUUGAAAUGAAAUUAUAUUAAAUUAAACAUGCUCGAGAUUGUUUGAAUUAUUAAUUAAUUAUAAUUAACUUUAUGUUUUUUGAGGAAACAAAUGGGAAGGACAAAAUUAUCUACCCCAAACGAUAGACCUAGCCCACUUUUCAAACCAAUCCCCAAAUAAAUAGAAUGAUGGUCUCAUAAGUUGCUUUUUUUCUUUCUAGGCCGCCAAGCAGUUUGGUCUCCCUCACUAGACCACUUUAGCACAAGAAUCACACUAGAGGAUUUAAAAGUAGUUUGAAGUAUCAUUAAACCUGAUAAAAAUGAAUAACUGAUAAUAAUAUAGUUGGGAUUUUAAAAAAAAAUUCAUAAAAAACUAUAUAAAAAGCAAUUUAAAACCAAUUAAUCUUAAAAACACCAAAAUGAAACAUGCCAUGAAAAACAAAUUAAAAAAAAACAAAAUACUUGAAAAAAAUUAAUUCAACCCUUUUUCAUAUAAAAAAAAGUAAUUGGGUAUUAAUUUACGGUAAAAAGAGUAUAUUAAUGCAAAAAAAAAAAAAAAGAGUUUGAGGGUAUUGAUUUUAUUACUUGUUAGGUAACUAUGUAAUCUAAUCUGUUGAUGUGGAAAAUAGCACUAAGUUUUUGGCAUUGCCCAUUGGUGAGAAGCAAAAGCAGUAGCAGUCCAUCAGGACCAUCACUAUCGUAUCGCUUCGCCGUACUGUUUAGCUUCUUGGCAUUGUUCGAAGGAACGCAGAAAUACAUUCCAAGUGCGAAAGUGUAUUAUUGUCAUAAAGUUUUUCAAACCUCCACUAUAGAGAGAGAAAUAAAUAAAAAGCGCAAAGGCAACUAUACUAAAGGUCAGUUUUUCACUCUCUGAAAAAUCCUUAAAAAAUCUUUUUUAGUUUAUUUGUAAUUAAAUUAAAGAAAAAUAUUAAUUAGUAAUUUUACAUUUUUUUCUAUACUAUAAUUAUCAAAUAACCCUUAAAAAAUUUCAUUUUAACCUUUAUUCUCUCUUCUUCUUUUUCAAUUCAUUUGUUAAUUUGAUUUUUUUUUAAUUUUGCUUUUUGAUUCAAAAUUUUAGUUUAUCCUCUCAAUUUUUUUUCAAAUAAUGUUCUUAUUCUCUUAAUUGCUAUUUUUUUAUCCUUUAAUUUUUUUAUUUUAUUAUUCGACAAUUCAUUAAUUGGAUCUGAUCUCAUUGGUUUUUUCUAUUGUUUCUAAACCCUACCCAAUAAUCAAUCCAGGAUAAUUAUCGAGUUACGAGUCGAGUGGGUUGACUCGAGUGAACCCAGACAACCAAAUCCUUUUGUUUUAUAAAAAGCCAAAAUGAUACCAAUUUUUUAUUUUUAAAAAAUAAUAAACGAGUUUUGACCCUGUUUCGGCUAGAUUUUCUUAGGAUUAACUAAAACAUUUAUCAACCCAAGUUUUUUAUUGUAUUACAUUAGAUUAAUUCUCUCUCAAUUAUUUUUGAAACUCGUGCGUUUUAAACCAAAGGUCACAUGGGACACAAUUUCUUUGUGCUUUGUACUGUACAUAAUUUGAAAAACUGUGAUUAACCGACUUACUUGCAAACGAAGCUAAAGAAAAAAAUCAAUUAUUUUUUUUUAAAUUCAAAAAUAAAACAUCAACUAUUUAUAUAAUAGCUAAAUGAAUCUAUUAAAAUAAAUAAAAAAUAACUAGUAAAAUCAAGUAAAUAAUUCAAAAAUAACAAAAAAAAAUAGAGAUAUAUUUUUUAAAAACUUUUAUCUUAUAUGGGUAGGGGUUGCCAUGCAACUUAACCGGGAUCACCAUGAUUGUCGAGUAAAGUAAAUAAAUUACUUAACCGGGAUCACCAGAGGAGUUAUUUGCCAAGAUUGAGUUAUAUAACAGUUUAUAAAUCAUGCUAUCAUCUCCAUCACCAUAUAUAAAGCUAGACAAAAUAGGAUAAGAGGGGAUUAAAUUUAGUUUUAGAAUAUAUUUGAGAAUAUAGUUGAACCAUGUUUUUUAAAAUGUUUUUAAAUUGUUUUAAUAUGCUGAUGUUAAAAAUAAAUUUUAAAAAUUAUUAUUUUAAUAUAUUUAUAAUUAAAAAAUAUUUUAAAAAGUAAUUUUCAUCACAUUCUCAAAUUAGUUAAAGUUUUUCAAAUGAAUAGAUUCAUGUCGAUGACACUCUCUAGUCAGUUUUGAGAAUUUUAAAUCCAAACAAGUGAAUUUAUAUUAUAUAUGGAUCAAACAAGCAUGCUUGUACAAUAAUUUCUCAUACUCAAUAGAAAUUUGGGUUUAUCAUUAGGGUAAGACAAACCGAAUAAUUCUUUUAAUAUUUAAAAAUUAAAAAAUACUGUGUAGCUGUUUUGUAUAAAUUGUAAAAUUGAGUCUUUUGUGCUUGGUAAAAUACGUCACAAUAAAGUCAAUAAAUAAUAACACAAGAAAGGAUCAAAGUUAAUAAAUAAUAGCAUGCUUUAAUAGAUUGUUACAGUAAAAGCACAGAGAGAAGAACGGUUCAAGACAGAACAAUAAAGUUAACGCGUGGACUCAUUUGUUGCAACCAGCACGAAACUCCAGCUCAAUUAUAUGUUAAAAAAUAAUAAAGUAUGUUUUAAUAGCAUGCUUUAAUAGAUUUAAUAAAGUAUGUUAAAAAAUAAUAUAAAUUAUAUUUUAGAGUUUAUUUUAAUAAUUUAAAUUUAUAGAUGAAUAGAUUUUUUACAAAUAAAAGAUAUAGUUUUACGAUAAAAUGCAUUUUUUGAAAUGAAAUUAUAUUAAAUUAAACAUGCUCGAGAUUGUUUGAAUUAUUAAUUAAUUAUAAUAAACUUUAUGUUUUUAGAGGAAACAAAUGGGAAGGACAAAAUUAUCUACCCCAAACGAUAGACCUAGCCCACUUUUCAAACCAAUCCCCUGGUAAAUAGAAUGAUGGUCCCAUAAGUUGCUUUUUUUCUUUCCAGGCCGCCAAGCAGUUUGGUCUCCCUCACUAGACCACUUUAGCACAAGAAUCACACUAGAGGAUUUAAAAGUAGUUUGAAGUAUCAUUAAACCUGAUAAAAAUAAAUAACUGAUAAUAAUAUAGUUGAGAUUUAAAAAACAAUUCAUAAAAAAACUAUAUAAAAAGCAAUUUAAAACCAAUUAAUCUUAAAAGCACCAAAAUGAAACAUGCCAUGAAAAACAAAUAAAAAAUAAAAAAAAUACUUGAAAAAAAUUAAUUCAACCCUUUUUUCAUAUAAAUAAAGUAAUUGGGUAUUAAUUUACGGUAAAAAGAGUAUAUUAAUGCAAAAAAAAAAAGAGUUUGAGGGUAUUGAUUUUAUAUUUUUUAUUAACGUGGGUGUCCGAGUCAGUUUACAUGCACCUCGACUAAUUCUACGGGUCCUGAAGCUAACUACCAUGUAAGUCUCCAGUGGUCCUGAGAUUUAUGAGACUCGAACUGGUAAUCUUUAGGAAGCAAACUCAGGAGCUAGUCAGUUAAGUUACCCUGAGGAUUGGAUCUAGAUUUUAUUAAGAAAAAAACCGGUCGAUCCACCGAGUCAAUCUGGAACCCGGGUGACCCGACAAAACCCGGUAGAAACUUUUUUUUUUCAAAUGUGUUUUUUCUUCUAGCUAGAGAUUCAUCUUUUUUCAUACAUGAAAAUAAAAAAAAAUAAAAAUUUAAAACAAUAAAAAUUUUAAAAUAUUUUAAAAAUAUAAUUUUAUUGCAAUCCAAAACACACCCAUGCUCCCUCAGCAACCACCACGAAAUUACCACCCUAAAUUCGGGCUCAAUAAUUUAUUCCUUAGCAAUUAUUGCUUGCUCUUUGAAAAUUAUUGCUUGGCUAAUAAUUUGCAAAAAACAAUUGCUUUUUUUCUUUCCAGCCAGCCAAGCAGUUUGGUCUCCCUCACUGGACCACUUUAGCACAAGAGAUGUCGUUAAAAGAGUACCAUAAUGCAAAAAAAAAAAACAAAAAAAGGAGUUUGAGGGUAUUGAUUUUAUUAUUUGUUAGGUAACGAUGUAAUCUAAUGUGUUGAUGUGGAAAAUAGCACAAAGUUUUUGGCAUGGCCAUUGAUGAGAAGCAAAAGCAGUAGCAGUCCAUCAGGACUAUCACCAUCCUAUCGCUGACAUUCCAUGUGUGAAAGUGUAUUGUUGUCAUAAAGUUUUUCAAACUUCCAAUAUAGAGAGAGAAAUAAAUAAAUAAAUAAAUAGAAAGCGCAAAGAAAACAAUACGAUAAAUUUAAACUAUACUAAAGGUCAGUUUUUCACUCUGUGUGAAUCUACAGUGAAAGCUUGAUUUUGCACAUGGUAGAUAAAUUUAGGUUUAGGAGUAUAAUUUUUUUUUUUAUAUAAUUACACUAAAGAAGAAUAUUAAUUGGUAAUUUUACAUUUUUUUAUAAUAUAAUUAUCAAAUAACCCUUAAAAAAAUUCCUUUUAGUUUAGGGUUUUUUUUUUCAUCUCAAUUACUUAACUGUCCCUAAAAAAUAAACUCCUUUACUAUGGAUGUAAGGUCAUUUUAGAUUUUUGGCUAUAUUUUUUUUAUUAACGUGAGUGUCUGGAUAGUUUAUACACACCUCGACUAAUCUCAUGGGCCCUGAAGUUAACGAUCAUGUAAGCUUCUAGUGACCCUGAGGUUUGUGGAACUCGAACCAGUGAUCUUGAGGCAACAAACUCAAGGUCUAACCAGUUGAGUUAUACCCCUGAGAAUUGGGUCUAGAUUUUAUUAUUUGUGAGGUAACUAUGUAAUCUAAUCUGUUGAUAUGGAAAAUAGCACAAAGUUUUUGGCAGUCCAUAGUCUUACAGCUAGUACUAAAGUUUUUUUUUUUCUAAAUUAAAGAUGAAUAUUUUUUGUUGGCAUCAAAUAAUUUAAAAUGAGAAUUACAGAGCACAGGGUUUAAUCAAAUAUUAAAAGAGAAGAUUUUGUGGAAUUAUUAGAUAAUUAAAAUCAUCACUAAUCUCCUUUUUUCAUUUUUUUUUAAUUAUUAUUAUCCCUGGCAUGCACGAAACAUUGAAAACCGCAAUUUUUCAUGAUAAAAUCCAAAGGAUUGGUACUUUGGUGUUUGUGGGGCUGGUAAAUGGAAGAACACGUGUUUGUGGGGCUGUUAUUUCAUUCAAGGUGCGUACUUUGGUGUGUAUCACGUGUUUGUUGCAUUGACUGAAUAUGAUAGUGGGAACUUAUUUAUCAAGAAUUAAAGCAGUAGUUGCUUAUGGAUAAUUAGCUCUUCCAUCCAGCAUUAAUUCUAUUAUCAAUUAUAGUUCAGUCAUAAAGUUUUUCAAAGAGAGAAAUAAAAAGGAAAAGGAAAAGGAAACAACCCCCACUCCAUCUUUCCCUUCUUUCCAUGAAAAAAGGAAACACCCCAUAUGAUUUUGAUUUUCAAUCAGUGUGAGUGAGAAAGAAAGAGAGGAUUAAAUUUGAUUUUGAUUUCGAAGAGAGAAUUAAUUAAAUUUAGAAUUAAUUCUAUUAUGUAUUUAAAUGUGUUUAGUUACCUUGUAAACCGUAUGGUAGAGUCCCUCAAAUAUUCUGGCCACAGCAAUAUUUUAGGUGGAUUGUAUGGGGCUUGCAACCACUCUAUUAUGCCAAGCAAUAUUUUGUCAUAGAACCCUUUGGCCCUCUAAAUUACCCAAAAAGGACAAUAAUUGAGCACAAGUGGUACAGGUCAGGGUUAAACUCAGCUUGCUAGAGCCAGUUCUCAAUUUUAGGCACCAGUUCUCAAUUGAAUUUUAGCAAAAUCAAGGAUUCAAGAAUUGGCCUCUGUAACAUGGUUUGUAUUCUGAGCCAAUCUGGGCUAGGAUUUGAAACAAAUGUAGCUAUUUUUUCUCCUUUUAUUAUUAAAAAAUAUAUUCAUGGAUUAAUUUUCGUAUAAUUUAAGAAAGUAAGUCCUUUAAUCAAAUUUUAGAUGUGGCCAUCCUCAAUGUGUUAAAAGUAAAUGUUAAUUACCAAGUUGUUGCAAAAAGACAUUCCCUUUCUUGUCAUAAAGUUUUAAAGAGCUAUCAAAAACGUACUUCGUGUAUUAUUGUCGUAAAGUUUUUCAAGCUUCCAAUAUAGAAAGAGAAAUAAAAAGGAAAAGGAAAAGGAAAAGGAAACAACAAGGAAUCUUUCUUGUGCGCUUUCCCUUCUUCACAUGGCUUCCUCGAUCGAUGUAAAAAAGCAAACGCCCCAUUUGAUUUUCAAUCAGUAUGAGUGAGAAAGAAUGAGAGUCCUCUCUUUCCUUGCUUUUUUUAACGCGUGGACCCAGCAGUGGUUGCCACCAAAAUCCUUCCUCAAUAUUUACCAGUACUACACGCUUGAGAAAUUUCCUUGCUUUUUUUCCUCUACGUACUGUUACCUUUUACCAGAUUUCCCAGAAUAGCCCCUUCGUGGGCUACUUUAUUCUUCACGGGUUCUUCUAUUGCCAGAUUCUCUCAUGCAAUUAAGUUUUUCUUUCCGUUUCCAAAUUUGAUAGCCCCAAAACCUCAUCAUUGAGUAGGUUUUGUUUUAGUUUAAGCGUGAUGGAGACGACACUAAAAAUAACAACAACAAAAAAACAGUUUUGGUGUAAAUAUCAAUGGAAGGUUUGGGUGCAGUCCUGUUUGUUUUUGUAUUUUAAAAAUAUUUUUAAAAAAAUUAAAUUUUUUUUAUUUUUUUACUUCAAAUUCAUAUAUUUUUUAGCCAUUUUAGAUCAUUUUGAUGCGCUAAUAUCAAAAUAAUUUUUAAAAAAUAAAAAAAAUAUUAUUUUAAUAUAUUUUAAAAUAAAAAACACUUUAAAAAUAACUCCAACAAUAAUCUCAAAUAUUCUUUAAAGACACAAUUUAAGUCACCGUAGGGUCAAAUAGGUCAGGCACUGUGCUGCAUGGUUAUUACUACUUUUUAGCCUUUUUUUUUUAUAUAUAUAUAUAUAAACAUCUUUUAUUUUUCUUAUCGGUUUCUCUGUUUCUCAUUAGCUUUAUGACACCAAUUAACAAUAAUCAAAUUUAAAAAAUAAUUAAUUUGUCCUUUUAAAAAAUAAUAUUUAAUCCUUAUGUUUUAAUAUAAAGUUAAACAUGUGGCAGUAGAAAUGAAGAAGAUGCCACACCACUUAAGGGCCCAAAGCCAAAUUUAAAAACAGGACCAUCAAACACGUGUUAACCUCUCAAGAUAAAGGAUGCAAAACUUGGAACAAAAUGAAAAAAGUGCAAUGCUGAUGAGUUCAUCAAACCAUGACCGUUCCAGGUGAAAUACAAAGUUUAGAUCAGUGCUUGUCAGUUGUGUGUUGAACUGAGAAAGAAUAAUUUGAUUGUCAUUUCAGUACAAAAGUAAGAGCAGAAGAGGCUUUUAUAUAUAUAUAUAGCCUAUACAGAGACUAAUAAGGAAAAACUCAUUACACUAAUCUAGUAAAUAAUCAUGGACGAUUUACAAUCAAGUAAGGCUAAUUAGGAAACUAAAUAUUCUAUGAUUCCUAUUCUGUGAUUUCCAUAUUUAUUCUUCACGUUAACACUCCCCCUCAAGUUGGUGCAUAGAUAUCAGCAAUGCCCAUCUUGUCAAGUGAUUUAUGAAAGAUUUUGCCCGAGACAGCCUUUGUAAGUAUAUCUGCUAGCUGAUCUUCUGAUUUUACAAAUGGAAAUUGAAUCACGUUGUCUUCAAGCUUCUGUUUAAUGAAAUGCCGAUCUACCUCAACAUAUUUGGUACGAUCAUGUUGAAUUGGGUUGUGCGCAAUUGCUAUGGCUGCUUUAUUGUCACAAAACAUGUUCAUUGUAUCUUGAGAUGAACAUCCAAUUUCUUCCAUUAAUCUCUUUAACCAAAGUAGCUCACAUAGUCCUUUGGUCAUACCUCUGAAUUCAGCUUCUGCACUUGAUAAAGCAACUACCUUCUGUUUCUUACUUCUCCAAGUGACUAGAUUCCCGCCCACAAAUGUGAAGUAGCCGGAUGUGGAUUUCCUGUCAGUGAUGUUCCCUGCCCAAUCUGCGUCAAUGUAACCAUUGAUGUGCAGAUGUUGAUGUUUCCUGAACAUCAGUCCUCUGCCUGGAGAAGACUUCAGGUAUCGUAAAAUGCGAAUCACAGCACUCAUAUGAUCUUCGCUGGGGUAAUGCAUAAACUGACUUACCAAACUCACGUCAUAUGCAAUGUCUGGUCGAGUAUGAGAUAAGUAUAUUAGUUUUCCCACAAGGCGUUGAUAUCUCUCUUUAUUGGUGGGAGCCUGAUUAGGAAAUUCUCCCAAACCAUGGUUUUGAACUAUUGGUGUAUCAGCUGGUUUGCAGUCAAGCAUUCCUGUUUCAGACAGCAAGUCAAGCACAUAUUUCCUUUGGGAUAGAAAUAUGCCUUGUCUCGAUCGAGCCACUUCAAUCCCCAAAAAAUACUUUAAUCCUCCGAGGUUCUUCAUCUCAAACUCGGUUGCUAACUGCUCUUGUAAUUUUGAGAUUUCUUCUCUGUCGUUUCCUGUAAUUAUCAUAUCAUCAACAUAGAUUAUGAGAGCUGUUACCUUUUCUCGUUGGUGCUUCAAGAAGAGAGUGUGGUCUGAAUUACUUUGCUUGUAACCGUAUCUCCGCAUGGCAAAACUAAAUCGUCCAAACCAUGCUCUCGGGGAUUGUUUUAAGCCAUAUAACACCUUUUGUAGCUUGCAGACCACCUUCCCUUGCAUUAGGGAAGUAAGGUCAGGUGGAACAUCCAUGUACACCUCCUCCUCAAGAUCUCCAUGGAGAAAAGCAUUUUUCACGUUAAAUUGGUGUAGUGGCCAGUCCAAGUUUGCAGCAAGAGAUCAGUACUCUCACAGUAUUUAAUUUCGUUAUCGGUGAGAAGGUUUCUUGAUAAUCUAUCCCAUAUGUCUGAGUAUAUCCCUUUGCCACCAGCCUUGCUUUAUAUCUUUCUACCGAACCAUCUGCUUUGUGUUUGACAGAGAACACUCAUCUACAUCCCACAGUUUUCUUUCCUUCAGGUAGUGGUACGAGGUUCCAAGUAUUAUUUUCCUGCAGUGCUUCCAUUUCUUCAUCUAUUGCUUGAAUCCAUUUAGGAUUAUUCAAAACUUCAUUCACUGUAUUAGGGACAUCUUCUGUAGAUAGUUUAUGCGCCAAUGCCUUGAGGGUUCAGACAGCUUCUGAGUUGAGACAUGGUUGGCAAUUGGGUACUUGGAUUUGCUCAUUCCAUGAUCAGGUGAAUAUCGUUUUGGAGGUUGUCCACAAUUAUGUCUGAAAGGCAAGUUAUAGCCAGCAGAAAUAUUUUGAGAUGAGUUUAGAACUUGUACCUCAUAAAUAUUCUCAGGAGAUUGAACUGAUUGUGGUACUGUCACGGCAUGGAAGGGCUGUUCAUUGGAGACUUCUCCAGUUGCUUCCAUUUGCUCACUAGUUUCUGCACUCUUCUCCACUGUCUCGGUCUCAACGUGCUCAUCAUUUUCUCCUUGUUCCCUCAUUAAUUCUGUCUCUGUAUCAAUAGCAACAUGCGGCUGGAUAAUAUUAUCUGAGAUAUGCUCACUAUCUCCCCCUGCAUUCUUCACUGUACUGUCAGUAAAGCCCGGCCAAUAUUCCCAGGCCUGCUCUGCACUUAGGAGCUCCCCCUGACAAGAGGAGCUAGAAGAUAGGGAAGUGAAUAAAUGCUCAGAUUCAAGGAAGGUAACAUCCAUGGAGGUAUAGAGUCGUUUUGUAGCUGGAUCAUAGCAUUAGUAUCCUUUCUUAUGAGCUGCAUACCCAAGAAAAACACAGCGGACAGCACAAGGGUCGAGCUUGGUUCGUUGGUUUUUGUGUAUAUGAACAUAUACAACACAACCAAAUGUUCUGGGCGGAAGCAUGAGAACUGACGGUAGGAUCACAUGGUGGCCUAGAACUUGAAGCGGGGUCUUAUAGUCCAGAACUCUUAAUGGCAGUCUAUUCAGCAAGUAUACUGCAGUCACCACUGCAUCAGUUCAGAACCGUUUGGGCACAUUAGCAGCUGUCAAGAGAGCUCUAGUGAUCUCCAAGAUAUGUCGGUUUUUACGUUCAGCAACACCAUUCUGUUGUGGCGUUUGUGGACAAGAUGUCUCAUGAUGCAUACCAUGUUCCUGAAAGUAUCGGUGGAAUUGUUUGUUAUCAUAUUCCCCACCAUUAUCGGAUCAUAGAAUCUGUAGUGUUGCAGAAAAUUGUGUUUGAAUCAUAUUAUGGAAUGAGCGAAAUAUGUCAAACACUUUAUAUUUCGUUUUCAUCACAUACAACCAAGUCAUUCGUGUACAAUCGUCAACAAAUGUGACAAACCAGCGAGCUCCAGAAGAGAUAGUAAUCGGGGCAGGGCCCCAAACAUCAGUAUGAACAAUUGCAAAUGGAGUGGCACUCUGAUUUAAACUUAUUGGGUACGAUACACAAUGACUCUUAGCUUUAAUACAAGUUUCACACUGAAAAUCUGCUUCACGAAAUUUCGUGAAUAGUUCUGGAAAUAAACAGCGUAAAUACCGAAAUGAGGGGUGUCCCAACCGAUUAUGCCAUAACCAAAUCUGCUGUUCCUUAUUGUCGACGAUGUGUAUGUUAUUUGCUCGACCACAGCUGAAGUCAUCCAUGUAAUACAACCUUUCCCUCUUAGUACCACGACCAAUAAUCUCCUUGGUGAGAAUAUCCUGAAACAAGCAAAAACUAGGAUACAUUAGUGCACAACAUUGUAAUUCCUCAGUCACUUGUCCUACAGAUAACAACUUAUUGGACAGUGAUGGAACUAGCAGGGUAUGUGGUAAUGAGAAAGAAGGAGAAAGUGCAACUGUUCCAACCCCAGUCACUGGAUAUGUCACUCUAUUAGCAUUAGCAAUGCAUAGCCGUUUUGGUUGAGUGGUGUCAGACAAAUCACAGGGAUCAUACGUCAUGUGGUCUGUUGCUCCAGAGUCAAUAAUCCAGCCAUCAUGAUCAUGUCUUCUCUUCUAAGAGCAAAAAACAUAACCUUGAUUACCUGGGUCAUUCUGAUCAGUCUGUUCUUUAGCCGAGAUAGGAGAUUCUUGUGCAGGUACAAGUGAUAGUGUAGGUUCCAUGCUUAUAAGGGCUGCACGACCAGGAUGUUCACUACGCCUGGCUUCUGGUUUUUUCUUCGCCUUGAGUUCGUGCCACCAAUCUGGAUAACCAUGUAUUUUGAAACAUGUAUCUUUGGUGUGUUUUGUAUUUUCACAGUGUGUGCAACCUGCCCCUUCCCCAUGUGAUUUUGUAACUGGCCUUCCAUUCGCUGGCAUUAGAAAGGAUAAACGAUGUUGAGGUUUCUGUCCUCCCCUUGACAGCAUAGCACCUCCAGAUAUGACUUCUUCAUUUUUCAGCAUCACAGAUUGCCUUAGGUCUUCUCUCCUGACUUGCGCAUAGGCUUGUUCUACUGUUGGAAAUGGCUGCAUCUGGAGCACAUCUGCUCUAAUAUUGUCAAGUCUGUCAUCAAGCCCGUCUAAGAAUAUAUAGACUAUGUCCUCUUGCAAAAGUGAAUUAUAUUUCUGUAUGUCAGUAUUGCACUCCAUAGGGUUUGGAUGCCGGAAAUCAAUUUCUCUCCAUAAUCCCUGCAGAUUGUUGUAAUAUGUUUCAAUAGAUCCUCCUCCCUGUUUCAGCCUAGUAACUCUUUUUUUGAGUGUAUCAGUGCCAUCAAAGUAGGUUGUUGCAAUGUUAUCCCAAACAGCUUUGGCUGUUGAAAAUCUGAUGAAGUUGCUUAUAAGUUUUGGGUUCAUAGAGUUGAUCAGCCAUCCCUUCACCAUUGCAUUUUCAGUUCUCCACUUCCUGAAUGUUGGAUCUGUUUGCAGAGGUUGUGGAAGGUCUCUAUUUAUGUAUCCCAACUUGUCUUUUCUUGAGAUAUACAUGUCAACAAUUUGGACCAUAAUGCAUAAUUGUUGUCAUCUAACUUGAUUCCAAUCGGUGCAGCAGGUUCAUGGCUGGCAAGUUGUGUCAUCCCUGCUGUCAGAUCUGCAAGGAUUGAGUUCUCCCCUUCAUAAGUUUUCACCCCAGCAGAAGGGGUUUCCAUUCUUUUCCAGAAAAAAUUCUAUGGCCCUAGAAUCUCUGUUCUGAUACCAUGUUGAACUGAGAAAGAAUAUAUUUGAUUGUUAUUUCAGUAUAAAAAUAAGAGCAGAAGAGGCUCUUAUAUGUAUAGCCUAUACAGAGACUAAUAAGGAAAAACUCAUUACACUAGUCUAGGAAAUAAUCAUGGACGAUUUACAAUCAAGUAAGGCUAAUUAGAAAACUAAAUAUUCUAUAAUUCCUAUUCUGUGAUUUCCAUAUUUAUUCUUCACGUUAACAUUGUGCGUCCAUGGGAAGAACCUUUCAUUAAGCAGACUUAAAGAUAGAUGCUUCAGUUGUCCAUCACAUUAAUAAUUUAUUUUUUUGUGCUCUAAAACGGACUGGAAUAGAACAGGCAAAAGUUUGUUUCUGAUGAGAAAUAAUUUUUUUAUAUAAUAUCAAAGUUUUAUUAAUUAAGUGAUUAAUUAUAAGUUUAAAUUUUACAAUUUUUAUACUUGUACUAUAUAAUAAAAAUUAAACAUAAAGUAUUGAUGUUACAUGAAAAAAAAGAAGUGAUAAUUGCUUUAUCCGAGGAAUCUUUCAUAGUUGUAUUGCCUAGGCCACAUUGAUUUUUAUCCACAGUCUUACCACUACAUUAUAAUUAUAAACGAAACUAAAUAUAUAUAUAUAUAUAUAUAUAUUAUAGCUCCUUUGUCGCUUUACUGUUCAUGUCACUGCUUAUAGCCAUUGUUGUUUUUCUUGGUCCUUGAAACUUUUACCUAUUUUCGUUUUGGUCACAAAACUAUAUUAUUUUUCUUCAUUUACAUCCUUGCAAGUUCUAUUAACACGGUUCCGUUUGCUGUUAUCUACUUCGAUUUUCAUGUUCUCGCCUGUAUCAUAUAUCUUUAAAUAUUACUACAAUGAAUUAAAAAUCAAUUUUUCUAACCCUCCUACCCAUAAACCGAUCCUUGCCACAGGUUAAUCAUAUAAUCUCAUGCUCUUACCUACAGCUAAGCAUCGGCAGAACCAAAUAGUUGCUAUUAAGGUCAGUUCUCCACGUGCAUGUUCUUCCUUUUCAAGCUAAGCUGUUUUUUAGAAAGCUUCUAAUUUAGUUCAAGUCAAUAAAAGCUUAGCAGGUUGAUACAAAAGUUCAUGGCCAAGUAAAAGAUGUUUAUUUUGGAUGAAAUAAAUAUUCAUAUUGGAACAUAAUAUUCAUCUCUCAAAUCCCUAAUCCAGUUGGUAUAUUCAUGAUAAAAUCCAAAGGAUUGGUACUUUGGUGUUUGUGGGGCUGUUAUUUCAAAUCGCUAGCUUGUAAUUUACUGGAUCUAUUGCAAACAAUUCCCUCAGACGUCUAAAUAUCAAACCAACCAACCACCACCAUGCAUUUACUGAAUAUGAUAGUGGGAACUUAUUUAUCAAGAAUUAAAGCAGUAGUUGCUUAUGGAUAAUUAGCUCUUCCAUACAUUGAAAAACCGCAAUUUUUCAUGAUAAAAUCCAAAGGACUGGUACUUUGGUGUUUGUGGGGCUGGUAAAUGGAAGAACACGUGUUUGUGGGGCUGUUAUUUCAUUCAAGGUGCGUACUUUGGUGUGUAUCACGUGUUUGUUGCAUUGACUGAAUAUGAUAGUGGGAACUUAUUUAUCAAGAAUUAAAGCAGUAGUUGCUUAUGGAUAAUUAGCUCUUCCAUCCAGCAUUAAUUCUAUUAUCAAUUAUAGUUUAGUCAUAAAGUUUUUCGAGGAGAGAAAUAAAAAGGAAAAGGAAAAGGAAACAACCACUCCAUCUUUCCCUUCUUUCCAUGAAAAAAGCAAACACCCCAUUUUGAUUUUGAUUUUCAAUCAGGAUGAGUGAGAAAGAAAGAGAGGACAAGGGGGUAUUCUCUCUCUCUUUCCUUGCUUUUUCUAACGCGUGGACCCAGCAGUUGUUGCCACUUGCCACCAAAUUCCUUCCUCAAUAUUUACCAGUACUACACGCUUGAGAAAUUUCCUUGCUUUUUUUCCUCUUACGUACUGUUACCUUUUACCUUUUAUAAUUAUGAUUAUUGCAUUGCUAAUAAUUUAUUAUUAAUCAUCAAUAUUUAUUCUUGGUCAUCAAUAUUGAAUAAUGGCUUAUUUUCUAUUAUAAACUGUGUUUGAAAUAUAGGUUGAUGUUCUUAAAUAUUUUUUAAUGAUUUUAAUAUGUUGAUAGUAAAAAUAAAAAUAAAAAAACUGGUUUUGUUUUCCAAAAGAAAUUGACAGUCAAUUACUUGUUUACUAUGUUUUUAAGAACCAAAAUAAAUAAAUAAAGUUUUUUCUUUCCGUUUCCAAAUUUGGUAGCCCGAAAACCUCCUCAUCGCUGAGUAGGUUUUGUUUUAGUUUAAACGUGAUGGAGACGAUACUAAAAAUAACAACAAUAUAAAAAAAAUUGGUGUAAAUACCAUUUAUUUUUGCAUUUUAAAAAUAAUUUUUUAAAAAAUUAAAAAUAAAUUUUGUUUUUUAUUUUAAAAUAAUAUUUUUUUAAUAAUUUUAAAUUAUCUUAAUAUACUGAUAUUAAAAAUAAUUUUUAAAAGAUAAAGUUUUUAAAACAUAAAGUUUAGCCUGCAGAUCUUCCGCUGAUCCCAUCUCAUUGUUGUAUGCAUCCAAGCUAAGCCAAUUCAAGAAAGAAGAUUUGAAGAAUACCAGCAGCAGCAGGAGUAAUAAAUUAACAUAACAAACCAUCUAGGUGGUGGCCAGUAAUAAAAGCCUGAGACCAAGAGAUUUGUUUCUUUUGUGGUCUCAGAUUCGAGUUCUGUGAUUGCUCAUAUGAUUAUUACUGGAGGCUUACAUGGUCGUUAACUUCAGGGCCCGUGGGAUUAGUCGAGGUGCGCGCAAGCUGACCCGGACACCCACAUUAAACUAAAAAAAAAAAAUUAACAUAACAACAUUAUGGGAGAAGGAGGGAUGACCUCACUGCAAGGGCGGAGGCAUGUUAAAGGCUUGAGUGCGCUAUAAUUUAGAUCAAAACUUUAUUAAUAUAUUUUGAUUAGUUUUAUGUAAAAAAAUUUGUAAUUCUUGAUUGAAUUAUUAAAAAAAUUUAAAAUUUACCUGUAGCCUUCUAAUAUAAUAUUUUAACUUGGGUUAAAAUUUCAGAAUAUUUUGAGAAAUUCAGAAAUUUGAUGAAAAAUCAUAAUUUAGCCAGUUUUAUGUUAUUGAACGUAAUUUUCAAUCCAAUCAUCAGAUUGAACUGAAAUUUUACGAGGAAUCUUAAAAUAUAUUGAAUAAAAUAUAGUUAAAAUUUUAUGAUGAACAGAGCUUGAUAGUGCUAACAAAAAAAAAACCAUCAAAUAAAAACAAAUCAAGAAUAAAAUGAUUAUUUCCAUUAAAAAGUAAAAUAAAUUAACUCUUCCUUCAUUUUAUACGUUGCCAUCCUUGCAUUAGAGUACACUCCCACAUGCGUUGUGGCAGCGGUUUGCUCUGUUAUUGUUCUCAUUUCUCUUAUUGUUGAAAGAUCCUUGGGAAAGACAUUCCAAGGGUGCAGUGUUUCUUGUUCCCUUUCCCUUCUUUACAUGGCUUCCUCAAUGAAAAAGCAAGCACUAACGCACGUUCUCCACAAACUACCCCCUAUUUCGCCACUAUAUAAAUAUAUUAUGGAAAACAAGAUAAAAAGAAAUCUUUUGGUACAUAUAUAAAUAUAUUAUGGAAAUUAACAUGGUAUCAGAAUAUCUGUGAAGUAUUGCUGGGAAGUCAUAAUUUUUGACACGCCUAAUCACAGACUUUUUUGGGAAAAAAAAAGAAAAAAAGAAGCCAGGCUAUGAAAAUAGGUUUGUGGAAAUUUACAUCAUUUGAUCUUGACAGUAUCAGAUUAGACAAUUGCAUGGAAAUGGUCUUCUUAGUUUGCCGUGUGGAAAAUCAUGUCAUUUACGGGACUGCUGGAGAGAGUGUCUAAUGAUAAUUUUACCUUCUUUUAAAAUCUUUGACACUACUUGCAUUGACUGGAAAUUUCGCUCGAAAAUUUCUAGUAAUUUAUAAAGGAAAUUUCUACUGUAUAUGAAUUGAAAAACUAUUAUUGACUGACUUCUUGCAAAGUAUUCGCAAGAAAGCUAAAGAAUUAAAGUUUUUAAUUUUUAAAAUUAUAAUUUAAAAUUGUAAGAAAAAAAUCAAUUGUUUUAAAAAUAAAAAAUCAACUAUUUAUAUAAUAGCUAAAUCUAUUAAGAUAAAUCGAAAAUAACUAGUAAAAUCAAUGACUUGUAUUGACGAGUGUGUCUAUAUAUACAUAUAGGAACUGCUGAUUCGAUUUGAAUAUGUUAUUUGAUUAGUCUAAUUCAUGAUUUGCAUUGACUCAAAAUUACCACUAGAAAUUCCUAGUUUCGUGGUGCUUUCUCAGCCUGCAAAUGAAUAUAAAGCAUAUCCUUUUAUCCUAUAUAAAGAAUACAAUGAACCUUUUUAUCUUUUAUAAUUAUAAUUAUUGCAUUGCUAAUAAUUUGCACGAAAGAAUAUUCUUUCUCUGAAAAGGCCUUGAGAAAACCCUAAGCAUAGUAUAUAAUCUCUUAUAGGAAUCUCUUUAUUAAAUCAUCAAAAUAUCAAAGUCUGUUUCCAAAGACUAUGACUACAGUUUAUAUAUAGAAACAACCAAAUAUAAAAAUUAUUAUUUUUUAAAUAGAAAAACCAGAGAGCUUGAUAAUAUUUAAUAAAAUAAAAUAAAAUAGAAAAAUUAUUCCUUUUUAGGUAGAAAAAAAUUAUAAAGAUUUAAUAAUACUAAAUAAGAAAAAUUAAAAUUUCUACACUAAAUUAAAAAAACAAAAAAAAACUGAGAAAAUAUUUAUUAUCCCAAUAGUUCUUAUAUUAAAAUCUCAUUUAUCAUAUGUUAUAUCUAUCAAAAUAAUAAUAAUAAUAACUUGUGACGUGAACUAAAGCUAUAUGCGAAAACUAGAAAAACCCGGUAGAGACCGGUUCUGUUUUUUCAAAUAUGUUUUUUCUUCUAGCUAGAGACCCCUUUUUUUUAUAUAUUUUUCUAUUGGUUAGUAAACUAUUUCAAAGUUUAUUAUAUAAAUACUAGAAGAAUAUUUUAUUUUUUCAAUAUGGAAUAAAAAAAAUUAUUUUUGUUUAAAUACCUCAAUUUAAAAGAAUUAGAUAAUAUCUUUUUAAUAUGAGAUAAAAAAAACCUUUUAAAAUAAUCUUUUAAACUUUAUUAUAUGCAACAUGUAUAAUCUAUAUUCAUAUGAAUUGUUUCUUUAAUUUUUUUCAUAUGAAAUAUUAAAAAUCAAAUAUUUUUUUUUUAAUUUUUUCGGGUUAAUUUAGAUCAAUCUGUGUAACCCAAGACUCUGUUUUUUAGUCGGGUCAAAUUCAGCUUGGGUUCCAUAACUAUCAGUAAAUUUAUUGAAAAAAACGUAAUUUUUUUGCUUUUAUAAAAAUGAAAGGCAAAGAAUUAAAUUAGGACAUAUAUCACUAAUUAUUUACAUACUCUUAUUACAAACACAAAAUUUUAUGUCACUUCAUGAUAUCCAUGUUUUCAACGCUUUACACUGGUUUAAUAAAUUGUUACAGUAAUAUCACAGAGAGGAACGGUUCAUGAAAAAACAAUAAUGGAGUUGAAGCAGAAUCUCUGUUUGAUUUUUCUUUUUUGUGUUUUCGGUACACUGGUCAACAAUAGCUUGGAAGAGUUUGGAAUCAGUAACACAUGGACCCAGUUAUUGUGGAAACUUUGCAGAGGAUCUGCACUCUGCAGGAAGAAAAUGAUUUUAAUAGAUGUACUGUACAUCAUUUGAAUUUAUUAAAAGUAACGUGUAAUGUAAAGUAUGUACUGUACACCUGCUUUCAACGUUUUACACUGCUUUAGUCGUCCAAAAAAAAAAAAAAACCAUUAGAUGCUAUAAAACAAGAUAUAUACAAUUUAAUUUGAGAGUGUAAUAGAUAUUAUAUUUCAAAAUAUUUUUGAAAUAUAUUAAAAUAUUAAUUUUUAAAAAAAUAAUUUUAAUAUCAUAUAUUAGAACAAUAAAUAAUAAUUAUAAUUUAAAAAAAUAAAAAAUUUUAAAAUCUUUAAAAAAAUAAUAAUUUUACUGGACUCCAAAACACACCCAUGCUCCCUCAGCAACCACCACGAAAUUACCGCUCUAUAUUACAGCUCAAUAAUUUAUUUUAGCAAUUAUUGCUUGCUCAUUCACAAUUAUUGCUUUGCUAAUAAUUUGCAAGAAACUUUCUCAAUUUCCUUCUAUUUUCUUUUUAUUAUGGAAACUUUAAGUCACAUGUGCGCCUACCACGAAAUUACCGAUAAGUAAAUUUCAAUGCGUAAUUGUGUAGGUUUCAAUUAAAAAUGCUUUAAUUUGAAAAAUUAUGUUAACAAUAAUAUAAAUUAAUUUUUCUUCAUAAAAAAAGUAAUUGAGUAUUAAUUUAGGCUAUAAAAAUAAAAUAAUAAUAAAAAAAGAGUUCGAGGGUAUUCAUUUUAUUUCAUUUUACUAUAUAAUCUAAUUUGUUGAUGUGGAAAAUAGCAUAAAGUUUUUGACAUGGCUAUUGGUGAGAAGCAAAAGCAGUAGCAGUCCAUCGUUAUACUAAAGGUCAGUUUUUCACUCUGUGUGAAUUUACAGUAAAAGCUUGAUUUUGAAAGUGAGAUGAAAUUGGAAUAUUUUGAUUGAAAUUUAAUUAAAAAUUCAGAACAGAGUGAGAUUUGAAAUGAGACAAAAAAUCAUUCUGUUUUUUAAAUUUAUAUGAAAUUUUUUAGCUAUUCCAGACAGACAAAAUGGAAUGGAAUUGAGAACCUUGGAUGCAAUAUGCUUUUUAAUUAAAGAUAUAUUUAAAUAAUAAUUUUUAAAAAAAAUUAUUUUUUUUAUUUUAGUACAUUAAAAAUAAAAAAUAUUUAAAAAUAGUAAUUUAAUAUUUUCUUAAAAAAAUAUUUAAAAAACACUUUUAAAUUUUUUUGAACUGUACUAUUCCUUGAAAAAACUCAAACUCUAAAUAACAUCUACUAUUUUCAGAAUAUCUGUAAGAGAUUGCUGGGAAGACAUAACGUUUUGCCUAAUCAGUCUCUUUUGGAAAUUUAUACCAUUUGAUUUUGACAGUAUCAGAUUAGACAAUUGCAUGGAAAUGGUCUUCUUAGUUUACCGUGUGAAAAAUCAAUAUUAUUGUCCGGGAGGGAAGUAAGGUUUUUUUUUUAAAAAAAAUUAUUUAAAAAUAUAUUAAAAUAAUUUUUAAAAUCAAAAUGAUUUAAAAAUACUUAAAAAAAAUCUAAGACUAAAAAUUAAUCUAAAUGUUUUUGAAAAAUAAUUCAACCAAAGUGCCAAAUAUGAUCAAUAUCGAUUAUCUUUUAUGUAAGAUUAUCUUUUAUCUUUGACAAUUAUUGCAUUGCUAAUAAUUUGCAAGAAAACAUACUUUCUCAAUUUCCUUUUUUAUUAUGUUAGUAGAUGCUAGAUGCUGUUUAUUUUUGUGUUUUAAAAAUAUUUUUAAAAAAAUUUAAGAUUUUAAAUUAAUAUUUUUAGAUAUUUUAAGGUGCUGAUUUUAAAAAUAAUUUAAUUAUUUUUUUUAAAAAAAAAUCAUGACACGGGUAUAAAAAAAAAAUUAUGGUAGAUAUAGCCUCAUCUUCUCUGCUUGUAAAAUUGGAGCAGAUUAUGGACUUAAGCGAGCAAUUACCGCUCGAAAUUCCUAGUAAUUUACGAAGGAAUUUUCCUUGUUGUUUCUCUGUACAGUAUUAGAAAAAUUGUCAUUGACUGAUUUAAUUGCAAAGUCUCUGUAAGAAAGCUUAAAGAAUUAGAGCUUUUUAAAAUAAAAAAUAUAGAGAGAGAAAUAAAAAAUAAAAAUAAAAAAAGGAGCAAAAGGAAACAACCCCCAUCUUUCUUGUUCCCUUUCCCUUCUUUACAUGGCGUCCUCGAUGAAAAUAGCAAACGCCCCAUUUGAAUAUAUAAUUAAAGAAAGAAAGAAAGAGAGGAAAAUUUUUUUAGUGAAUUCAAAAGCCCUUCGCCCCGGAAAGAAAGUUUCUUUUAACAAAAUAAGGUUGUUGAGGCUUUUCUUGGAACCUCGCUCAGGGAUUAAUUAACAAGAAUUAAAAAAUCCCCUGCAAAUUACACAAAAUUUAUUAUUGAUCAUCAAUAUUGAAUAAUGGCUUAUUUUCUAGCAUAAACAAAAAUUGAUAAAAGAUAUUUAUUAUUGAUCAUCAAAUUGUGGUAGCUGUUGUGGUUGUGGAAAAAAUUAUUUUAUAAAAAAUAUUUUUAGUUGAGGUUGAUUUGAAAAAAUAGGUGUUUGGUUAAAACUGUGGUUGAAAUUGAAGUUGAAGAAAAAAUAGCUUAAUGUGUUUGGUUAAGAAUGCUUUUAAAAUUGAAGUUAUAAAAUAAUUUUUAAAAAAUAUAUUAAUACUGAUGAUUUUUAAUUUAAAUAUUAUGGAUUUAACUAUUGCUAUUAUAUCAUGAAAUAAAUCAUACUUUAUAUAAAAUAUUUUUUUAUUAUUCCAUGAAACCAUUUAUAAUUCCAUUACGUAUACAUCCGACAAAAACUACAGUUUUCAUAAUAUUUUUAGCAUAUAAUAAAAUUAGAUAAAAUAUUAUCAGGUAUAAAAUUCACUAUAAACUAGUUUUUUUAAAAAAAAAUGUUAAAAAAAUAACACACUAAAAAAAAUUAACACACUAAAAAAAAAAAGGUUCACGCAGGCAAAUGAACAUUGCAAGAGAAUUGCACUGUUCACUAUUUUUAAGUGAACAGUGCAAUUGUGUUGCACUGUUCACUUGAAUAGUGUACAUUACGUACUGUUCAUGUUAAUUGCACUGUUCAUUGAACGGUGCAAUUAACAUGAACCGUGAAAAAAAGAGUAAGAAAUGGCUGCUUUUCCUUUCCUGCGUUUCUAACAUAGAAAUUAAGUGAGGCCCAGUGAACAGUAAAUUAAUUUUUUCAUUAACCAAACAGCUGCGAACUGCGUUUUAAAUAAAACGCAGCCGCAGCUACAGAGCCAAACGGGCUCUAUAUUUUGGAGUGACGUAGAUAUUAUGUUUUAAAAUCCUUUUUAUUUAUAAAUGUAUUAACAUUUAUUUUUCAAAAUUUAUUUUUAAUAUUAAUAUAUCAAACUAAUAUAAAAAUAUUAAAAAAAUAAUUUAAAACAAUAAAACAUUCAGCAACCACUCUAAAUUCCAGCUCAAUAAUUUAUUCUUUAGCGAUUAUUGCUUGCUCUUUGACAAUUAUUGCAUUUCUAAUAAUUUGCAAGAAAACAUACUUUCUCAAUUUCCUUGAACUCAUUUGACCCAGCUAUCGAGUUAUUUUUUCCGCUCAUCUUUUUUUCCCACAAACUCACCAAGACAGCACCGGAUUAUUUUAACUCAGUGAUCCUUCCAGGUAGGCCCAGGCCACAUUGAUUGUGUUAAAAAAAAAAUCUAAUUCAGCUUAGUAUCAACUACAUUAUAAUUAUUUAGGAGGAUAGUUGAACCAUACUUUUUAAAAAAAUUAAUUUUUUUUUAUAAUUAUACGCCAUCAGCAACUACCUCGAAAUUACCACUCCAAAUUCCAGCUCAAUAUCGAUCAACAUGCGGCUAAAAUUGAUAAAAGACACAUAAUGAUGGUAUUGUAUAUUUUGAGACUAAAUUGAGGUUUUUUAAUUAUUACUUUAAAAUAUAUCAUGGUUUUAAUAGUUGGACGGUAUAUUAUAUAAAUUAUUAAAAAAUAUUUAUUUUUAUUAUAUAUGUAGUAAUAAUAAAUUAGAUGAUAAUAACAAAAAAUAGAAAUUAUUUUGAAUAAAUAGUACCAGUUCCUAUUAUGAUAUGUAUAGAGAAGAAGUUGGAAGAAUAAAAUGAAGUCAAAUAUUCUUAAUAAAAAAAACACAGAAAUAGUUAAAAUAUGUUUUUAAUAAAUAUAAAAGAUGGAUGAAAAUAUUAGAAAACAUGAAAGAGAUACAUAAUCUCUUUGUAAGAUUUCUAAGAACUUAAUUACAAUUACAUUAUAAUUUCUUCCUUAAAAUUAUUCAAAAUAUAUAUUAUUCUAGGUUUUAAUGUAAUUAAAAAGGAAGUAUUUGUAAGUGUAAGAAUUUUUGACACGCCUAAUCACAGUUUUUUUUGGAAAAGAAAAGAAGCCAGGCUAUGAAAAUAGGUUUGUGGAAAUUUACGUCAUUUGAUUUUGACAAUUGCAUGGAAAUGGUCUUCUUAAUUUGCCGUGUAGAAAAUCAUGUCAUUUACGGGACUGCUGGAGAGAGUGUCUAUUGAUAAUUUUACCUUCUUUUCAAAUCUUUGACACUGCUUGCAUUGACUGGUAAUUUCGCUCGAAAAUUUCUAGUAAUUUAUAAAGGAAAUUUCUACUGUAUAAAUUGAAAAACUAUUAUUGACUGACUUCUUGCAAAGUAUUUGCAAGAAAGCUAAAAAAUUAAAAUUUUUAAAUUUUUAAAUUAUAAUUUAAAAUUGUAAGAAAAAAAUCAAUUGUCUUAAAAAUAAAAAAAUCAACUAUUUAUAUAAUAGCUAAAUCUAUUAAGAUAAAUCGAAAAUAACUAGUAAAAUCAAUGAUUGACGAGUGUGUCUAUAUAUACAUAUAGGAACUGCUGAUUCGAUUUGAAUAUGUUAUUUGAUUAGUCUAAUUCGUGAUUUGCAUUGACUCAAAAUUACCACUAGAAAUUCCUAGUUUCGUGGUGCUUUCUCGGCCUGCAAAUGAAUAUAAAGCAUAUCCUUUUAUCCUAUAUAAAGAAUACAAUUAACCUUUUUAUCUUUUAUAAUUAUAAUUAUUGCAUUGCUAAUAAUUUGCACGAAAGAAUAUUCUUUCUCUGAAAAGGCCUUGAGAAAACCCUAAGCAUAGUAUAUAAUCUCUUAUAGGAAUCUCUUUAUUAAAUCAUCAAAAUAUCAAAGUCUGUUUCCAAAGACUAUGACUACAGUUUAUAUAUAGAAACAACCAAUUAUAAAAAUUAUUAUUUUUUAAAUAGAAAAACCAGAGAGCUUGAUAAUAUUUAAUAAAAAUAAAAAAUAAAAAAUUAUUCCUUUUAAAGUAGAAAAAAUUAUAAAGAUUUUAAUAAUACUAAAUAAGAAAAAUUAAAAUUUCUAAACUAAAUUUAAAAAAACAAAAAAAACUGAGAAAAUAUUUAUUAUCCCAAUAGUUCUUAUAUUAAAAUCUCAUUUAUCAUAUGUUAUACCUAUCAAAAUAAUAAUAAUAAUAAUUUGUGAUGUGAACUAAAGCUAUAUGCGAAACCUAGAAAAACCCGGUAGAGACCCGUUUUGUUUUUUCAAAUAUUUUUUUUCUUCUAGCUAAAGAUCAUUUUUUUUUAUAUAUUUUUCUAUUGGUUACUAACUCAUUUCAAAGUUCACUAUAUAAAUACUAGAAGAAUAUUUUAUUUUUUUGAUGUGGAAUUAAAAAAAAUUCUUUUGAUUUAAAUACUUCAAUUUAAAACAAUAAGAUAAUAUCUUUUUAAUAUGAGAUAAAAAAACCUUUUGAAAUAAUCUUUUAAACUUUAUUAUAUGCAACAUGUAUAACCUAUAUUCAUAUGAAUUGUUUCUUUAAUUUUUUUCAUAUGAAAUAUUAAAAAUCAAAUAUUUUUAUUUUUAUUUUUCUGGGUUGACCUGGAUCAAUUUAUGUAAUCCAAGACUCUAUUUUUUAGUCUGGUCAAUUUUAAGUUGGGUUCGAUAAUAAUGAUUAAAUUUAUUGAAAAAAACAUAAUUUUUUUUUUGUUUCUAUAAAAAUCAAAGGUAAAGAAUUAAAUGAUGACAUAUAUCACUAAUUAUUGACAUACUCUUAUUACGAACACAAUAUGAUACCCAUGUUUUCAACGCUUUACACUGCUUUAAUAAAUUGUUACAGUAAUAGCACAAAGAGGAACGGUUCAAGAAAAAACAAUAAUGGAGUUGAAGCAAAAUCUCUGUUUGAUUUUUUCUUUUUUGUGUUUUCGGUACAUUGGUCAACAAUAGCUUGGAAGAGUUUGGUAUCAGUGACACGUGGACCCAGUUGUGGUGGAAGGAAGAAAAAUGAUUUUAAUAGAUGUACUGUAUAUCAUUUGAAUUUAUUAGAAGUAACAAGAUAUAUACAAUAAGAUGCACUGAGGGUAUUGGCCUGGGAUACGAGGGGCUUGUCUUCUCUUGUUGCUUCUGGAUUCGAGUUUUUAUGUGUAUGUCUGUCAUUUUUACGGUGUCUUAUAUGUUCAUUGAGUUUGCAGGGUGUUCAGUGGGUCGUGGAAUUAGUCGUGGUGCGCGCAAGCUGACUCGGACACCCACGUAAAUAAAAAAAAAAAAAAUAUAUAUACAAUAAGAUGCUAUAUUAAAAUAUUAGAUGCUAUUUUUCGAUCUUAGAAGUAACAUGAUUUUAAUAUACACCUUCUUUCAACGUUUUACACUGCUUUAGUCGUCAAAAAAAAAAAAAAGACUAUUAGAUGCUAUAAAACAAGAUAUAUACAAUUUAGUUUGAGAGUCUAAUAGAUAUUAUAUUUCAAAAUAUUUUAGAAAUAUAUUAAAAUAUUAGUUUUUUUAAAAAAAUUAUUUAAUAUCAUAUAUUAGAACAAUAAAAAAUAAUAAUAAUUUAAAACAAUAAAAAAUUUCAAAAUCUUUUAAAAAUAUAAUUUUACUGGACUCCAAAACACACCCAUGCUUCCUCAGCAACCACCACGAAAUUACUACUCUAAAUUACAGCUCAAUAAUUUAUUCUAGUUAUUAUUGCUUGCUCUUUGACAAUUAUUGCUUUGCUAAUAAUUUGCAAGAAACUUUCUCAAUUUCCUUCUAUUUUCUUUUUAUCAUGGAAACUUUAAGUCACAUAAUAUAUGGCUGAUUUUAUAUGAAUAUAUUAUUUGAUUAGUGUUGACUCUACUAUUGCUGCAUUGACUGGAAAUUUCAGUAUUCAAUAUCCUAUAUCAUUCUACGUUCAUAACGAUAACUCUUUGUUAUAUUUAACUUACACUGCAGCUAACUUCUCUGUCCCAUUGCAGCCAUUUCAUAGCUAACUCUUUGUUAUAUUUAACUUGCUCUUCUUUGCUUCUUUGCUUCUUGCUCAUAACGAUAACAAGAAAGCCUUACGUUCAGAUAGAUAAUCAUUGACCAGUUCAUCCUAUACCAUUCAAUUUAAUUUAGAAAUGCUGAAAGAAAAACGCAAGCAAUCCAAAGAUGAAGACAACGAUUCAUCCUCGCGAAAGAGAAGAAAAGCUGACCUCAGUAAGCCUGUCAGUUUUGUCUCCACAGGUAAGGCAGAUGCGUGAGUCUAUACAUGUAGGAACUGCUGAUUCGAUUAGAAUAUGUUAUUUGCUUAGUCUGAUCAUAGGAUAGGUUGAGUCUACUACUAUUUCUGCCUUGCUUUGACUCGAAAUUACUGGUGUUUUCUCCUGCAAAUGAAUAGAAAUCACAUCCUUUCUCUUUCUCCUAUACAAAGAAUACAAUUAACCUCAUUUCAAUAUCAUAGCUUUGGAAUUUCAUAGCUAACUCUUUGUUAUGUUGCUCCAUUGGUAAUUGAUUGUGCCUUAAUUUCUGCAGCUACCAGGACAGAGCCAGAGUCUUCUCGAUCUAGACCAGAAGGGGCCUAUGAUGUCUUCUUGAGUUUUAGAGGAGAAGACACUCGCAAGACAUUUACAGAUCAUCUAUAUACUGCCUUAGUCCAAGCAGGAAUCCGCGCUUUUCGAGAUGAUGAUGACCUUCCAAGAGGAGAAGAAAUCUCCGAUCAUCUCCUCAGGGCAAUUCAAGAAUCAAAGAUAUCCAUAGUUGUCUUCUCAAAAGGAUAUGCUUCUUCUAGAUGGUGUCUCAAUGAACUUGUAGAGAUUCUUGAGUGCAAAAAGAGGAAAACCGGUCAGAUUGUUCUUCCUAUAUUCUAUGACAUUGAUCCUUCAGAUGUGAGAAAACAGACUGGCAGUUUUGCAAAGGCAUUUGAUAAGCAUGAAAAGCGUUUUGAAGAGAAGUUGGUGAAGGAGUGGAGAAAAGCUCUUGAGGAUGCCGCAAACCUAUCUGGACGGAGUCUCAAUAAUAUGGCAAAUGGGUAUUCCUUCUCUCUCUAAGAUUCACUUGCACACGUUUAUGGAGUAAUUUUACAUUACAUUUUUCAAUGUGAAGUAAUAAAAUAUUUCUUUUUAGCAUACUUAAUUGAGUCGCUAUCAAUGACUUGCUUUUGUCUAUGAGCAGGCAUGAAGCAAAAUUUAUCAAGAAGAUUAUCAAGGAUGUGUUGAAUAAAUUAGAUCCCAAGUACUUAUAUGUUCCUGAGCACCUAGUAGGUAUGGAUAAACUUGCUCAUGAUAUUUUUGACUUUCUAAGCACUGCAACAGAUGAUGUACGCAUUGCGGGCAUACAUGGGAUGCCAGGAAUAGGAAAGACGACUAUAGCAAAAGUUGUAUUUAAACAACUCUGCGAUAGAUUCGAGGACAGCUGUUUUCUUUCGAAUAUCAAUAUUGAAACACCAAAAAAACUUACAGGUCUUGUUGGUUUUCAAACGCAACUUCUUCGUGAAAUUUUAAAACAAGGUGUUCCAAACUUCGAAUGUGUUGAUAGAGGAAAGGUUUUGAUCAAAGAACGACUUCGUGGCAAAAGAGUUCUUGUUGUUGCUGAUGAUGUGGCUCAUCUGGACCAGCUAAAAGCUUUGAUGGGAGAGCGAAGCUGGUUUGGUCUCGGAAGUAGAGUAAUUAUUACAACAAGAGAUUCAAAUCUUCUUCGUGAAGCAGAUCGAACAUAUCAGAUCGAAGAAUUGAAACCAGACGAGUCCCUUCAGCUUUUCAGCUGGCACGCCUUUAAGGACUCCAAGCCAGCAAAAGAUUAUAUUAAGCUUUCGAAGGAUGCAGUUGAUUACUGUGGAGGACUUCCUUUAGCUCUUGAGGUUAUGGGUGCUUGUCUGUCUGGGAAAAACAGAGAUGGUUGGAAAUGUGUAAUUGAAAAAUUGAGAAGAAUUCCAAACCACGAUAUUCAAGGAAGGCUUAGAAUAAGUUUUGACGCACUGGACGGUGAAGAACUACAAAAUGCAUUCCUUGACAUCGCUUGCUUCUUUAUUGAUAGAAAGAAAGAGUACGUCGCAAAAGUGCUAGGAGCCCGUUGCGGUUACAAUCCAGAAGUUGAUUUGCAAACUCUCCAUGAAAGGUCUCUGAUUAAAGUAUUGGGAGAGACGGUAACCAUGCAUGAUCUAUUACGAGACAUGGGAAGGGAGGUCGUUCGUGAUAAGUUUCCAAAAGAACCUGGAAAGAGGACCAGAAUUUGGAAUCAAGAGGAUGCAUGGAAUGUACUUGAGCAGCAGAAGGUAAGAGCUCAAUGCAUACAUGAAAGCAUAGUCAUUCGUAUUUUCUAGUCAAACUUAUUUCACAUAAUUGAAUGAAAGUUGUAUUGUUUUUUUUUUAGGGUACGGUUGUUGUAGAGGGUCUUGCACUGGAUGUCAGAGCAUCAGAAGCUAAAGCACUUUGCGCAGGAUCAUUUGCAGAAAUGAAACGCUUAAAUUUACUCCAAAUCAAUGGAGUACAUCUCACCGGAUCCUUCAAACUGCUUUCUAAAGAGUUGAUGUGGAUUUGUUGGCAUAGAUGUCCUUUGAAAGAUUUUCCAUCUGAUUUUACCGCAGACUAUCUAGCUGUUCUUGAUAUGCAGUACAGUAACCUCAAAGAACUAUGGAAGGGAAAAAAGGUGCGAAACAUGCUACAAUCCCCGAAAUUUCUCCUGUAUGUAAUUUAUAUUGACAUCUUAUGACUUUCUAUGAUUAAUUUUCAUUAUUUUACCCUCUAUUAUGACAGAUCCUCAACAGGCUAAAAAUCUUUAAUCUUAGUCAUUCUCGGAACCUUGUUAAAACACCAAACUUGCACAGUUCAAGUCUAGAGAAACUAAUUCUGAAAGGUUGCUCAAGUUUAGUUGAGGUGCAUCAAUCAAUUGGACAUUCGACGAGCCUCGUUUUCUUGAAUCUCAAGGGAUGUUGGAGUCUGAAGACUCUCCCUGAAAGCAUUAGGAAUGUAAAGUCUCUUGAAACUAUGAAAAUUUAUGGGUGUUCACAACUUGAGAAAUUGCCAGAAGGCAUGGGUGAUAUGAAAUUCUUAACUGAGCUAUUAGCUGAUGGGAUUAAAACUGAGCAAUUUCUCUCUUCAAUUGGGCAAUUAAAGUAUGUCAAAAGGUUAUCAUUACGUGGAUGCAGUCCGACUCCACCAAGUUGUUCUUUGAUUUCAGCAGGUGUUUCAAUUUUGAAAUGUUGGCUGCCAACAUCAUUCACUGAAUGGAGAUUAGUGAAACAUCUUAUGCUUUCUAAUUGUGGUUUGUCUGAUCGUGCAACUAACUGUGUUGAUUUUAGUGGUUUGUUCUCUCUAGAAAAAUUGGAUCUAAGUGAAAACAAAUUCUCUAGCCUGCCUUAUGGGAUCGGCUUCCUUCCCAAGCUAUCGCACUUGGUUGUUCAGACAUGUGAAUAUCUUGUAUCAAUCCCAGAUCUUCCCUCAAGUUUAUGCCUUUUGGAUGCAUCUUCUUGCAAAUCAUUGGAAAGAGUAAGAAUACCAAUCGAGUCAAAAAAAGAACUAUGUGUAAAUAUAUUUCAAAGUCUUUCGUUAGAAGAGAUUCAGGGCAUCGAAGGUCUAAAUAAUAGUUUCUGGAAUGUUAGUAUUGAAAGACGCAGUCAUUCACCAAAUAAAUUACAGAAGAGCGUUCUAGAGGUACUAUUUCUUUCAAUCUCUCUUGCAUAAGAAGAAACACACACAAUUGGCACAUAUUGAUUAAUGUCUAAAAUCGCAGCAUUCCUUGAAAUUAAUAUGUAUACAGGCAGUUAUUAUUAUUAUUAUUAUUAUUAUAUUUUAAAAAAUAAAUAUCAUCUUUAAUAAUAUUUUCUUAUUUUUCUUAUUUAAUCUAAAAAAUUAAAUAUUAUCUUUAAUAAUAUUUUUUAUUAAAUAUUUAAGUCUUUGGUUUUCUUUUUUAUUUCUUGAUUUUAUGAUAAUAUAUUUAUACAGGCAAUGUGCAACCGUGGUCACGGGUAUCGUAUUAACUUCAGUCUAGAACAUGAUGAACUACAUGAGAUGCCAGAUUGGAUGAGCUACAGGGGAGAAGGAUGCUCAUUGUCAUUCCAUAUACCUCCAGUCUUCCAUGGCUUAGUUCUUUGGUUAGAGAAGGGUACUCAUAUGUACACAUACACUAACAUUAUUAUUAUUAUAAGAAAUAAAAGCAACGGAAGAAUAUUGUUUAAAGAUAAACGAGCACAGAUAGGAAUACAUAUAUUUAUGCAGGGAUGGUUAAGAUACAUAAGUAGAAGUGAAAUGGCAAUGGAAGAUUACUGUGGAGACGAAUUGGAACUAUACAUUUCUUCAGAGCCAACAGACUAUGCACUGCGCAAGGGUAAAUCAUUGAAACCAAGCGUUAAAGAAUGUGGGGUCCAUGUGAUCGCAGGGAAGUCAGAUUCAUUAAAAAAGUCGGCAGUGGAAAGAGAUACAGUGAUGCUUUCACCACCGCUGUAUCAUCUGCUUCCUCAUCCUCAUCGUGGUUCAAUUACAACGUCUACACCUAAGCAAUGGUGUGACUUUUUACUUGCGGAGCUGCAAAACCAUAGCCUCGGUUUAUUGCUUCUUGGUAAGAACAAAUAUUUCCUUUAGUUAUUUUUAUUCUAUUCUAUUUAAUUUAUGAGAUUAAAUAUUAUCUUUAAUUAUUUCAUUAUUACUAUUUAAUAUAAAAAAUUAAAUAUCAUUUUUAAUAAUAAAAAAUUAAAUAUUUAAGGCUUUUUGGUAAGAAUACAUAUUUCCUUUAGUUAUUUCUAUUUUAUUCUAUUUGAUGGGAAUUUGUUCGUAAUAACAAAAUGCACAUGUUUAACUUUCUUUUCAAACUUGGAAGUUUUAUUGAAUUUGAUGGCUUUUGAAGGUAGAGAAGACUUGGAGUGAAGAGUACAAGAUCAUUUUAUAUAGAGAUGCUUGAAGUUACUUCAAAUUAGUACGGUACUUCUAUCUGAUGUAUUGAUAUGUAUUUGUUUGUUUGAAGAUUAUUUUCCAAGCUUGGAAGUUUUAUUGAAUACUCUUUGAAAUCUUUUCCAUCCGCUUUUAUAUUUUUAUAUUGGACAACCUAGUUGUUAAUUAUUAUCCAUGAUGUAAUUUAUAUUUUCAAGUUAUAAAUUUUGAUGAAUAUUGUUUCAUUUUUUUCCUCAUUUCAAAAGUUGAAAAUCCUUAUUUUAGUUAGAAAUAAAUUGGUUUUCUAGGAAGAGAUUAUUGAUUGGAAACAAGAGCAAAAGAAAAAAGCAAACACCCCAUUCGAUUUUCAUUCAGUAUAAGAGUGAGAAAGAGAGACGCCAAGGUGGUUCUCGAAUAUUUUGUUCUUUUUUGUCUCGCUCACUGGGGUAAAUACUUCAUCAUUUAAUGUUAUAAUUUAAAAUAAUUGAUGAAAAAGAAUUUUAUUCAAUCCCAAUCCCAAUCCCACAUUGUCUGUAGAAGUAUUUACUUUUGACUGUACACUUUGUUAUUUUCCAAUCCCUCCCCAGUUCUGCAACCAUUUCUCUACUUUCUAUGCUCUUGGCUUGCUAAAAACUAAAGAAAACACAUUGCUCUAGUUGCCUGCCUUCACUCUUCAGAUUGCUCAACAAAUCCCUUGAGACCUUCUCCAUAGUUAACACAUCACAUAAUGGCUACUCUAAAAAAUUUAGCCAUAAACAUUGAACACCUUAAGCAAUCAACGUGCCUUCCUUCACAAUAUGCAUCACCCAUAAAUCUUUCUUUUGGGAUGUCGCCGGGAGUUUAAAUUUCCGAGUGUAAAAAUUACUCAAUGAAAAAGCGAGCACUAACGCACCUUCUCCACAAACUAC
This 84160-nucleotide long non-coding RNA is filed under the name Populus trichocarpa (black cottonwood). RNAcentral describes it as "long non-coding RNA (PTRI_LNC004306)". Lineage: Eukaryota; Viridiplantae; Streptophyta; Magnoliopsida; Malpighiales; Salicaceae. The record is from RNAcentral.